UUCGAUUCUCCUCGGAGAUCAAUCAAAACCCAGAGCCGACCAAGUAAACUGGAAAAUCCUCUGAGGGAAAGUGGAGAUGGUGGGAGGUCUGCAAGGAGCGAGCAAGAGGCGACCGAAUGCCGUCCGGACGCAAGCAGUGAUCGUGAGCUCUCGCGAGAGAAUUGGACGACGUCGUCGCGCAAAUGGGGAGAUAGAGAGCCACGCGACCUCAAAACGCACAGGAAUUGGAGCCAAAAAAGCCGGUUGGAUCCACCAGCUUCGAUCGUCGCUGCCAAUGCCGUCCAAGACUCCCUCUGGUUAGUUGAACAACCGAUCGUGACCGAUGAUCGCUCCUCGCUGAGAUAAAAGCUCUUUGUUCUGUUUUGAGUAUCGCACGUGUGAAAUAGAGACCGAGAGCUUUGUUGUUUGCUAGCAAUGAAAAUUGUUCACGUCCGAGAUUAUAUUACUAACAACUGCGAUUCGGUCUUCAUGAUCUCGUGCUGAUUGGGCUGUGAUUCUCGCUCUCUCGUUGCUGGAUUGUGCCAUUUCAUCGAAUGCACAUUAAAUGUCUGGUGAAAUGCCUGAGCCGUAUUAGUCUAAAUACGCAUGGUCUUUGUCUGCUUGAAUGACUCAUUGUACCAGUUGGAUAGGUUAAGUAGAUCUAAAUUGAUAUCCACUUUUGAGUCCAUUCCCGAAUGUCUCGGUCUUGGUAGGCUUCCGGUACUCUAAGGCAGAUAAACUCGACUCUCUGAAAUUAGCUAAAAAAGAUGAUUCCGGUACUCUAAGGCAGAUAAACUUGACUCUCUAAAUUAGCUAAAAAUGAUGAUAUGCUGAAUUGUAAAUACUCUGUCGAUGGUUGCUGGUGCGCUCAUGAAGCAUAGGCUGAUCAUGGAGACUAAUACAUUGUAGUGUGGAUCCCAUUUGCUGUACAUAUCUUUUUCUAAUAGUGAAUUCCAAAUCACGUCUUCUCUGCGAGUGAACGUGAAUAUGUGUUCACCGGAUGAAAAGAUAGUGUGGCAGCCGCCAUGUUCUUGUUGCAAAACUAAAUGACAAAAAAGGUAGAAUUGAAAAGUAGUUGGAAAUUUUUUCUAAAAAAUAAAUAUGAAACGUUAUAAAAAUAUAUAUAGUAGACUCGCGUCCUCACAAAUCUAAAAUGAUGCAGAUCUAUUAGAAAACUCGAUACGUCUAUAAUCAUAGGCAAUGUAUAGCUUUUUAUAACUCAAAGGGAUGAAUAGACUCAAAGCUCAUGGAACACCCUAUUAUAAGAUAAAUAGUUACAAAAACAGGCCAUACUAUUUCCACACUCGAAAUGGAGGGAAAGGUUGAAAGGGAUUAAAAAAAUGCAAGAAAUGUUCUCAUAUGAGUGGAGAGCUCCAUUUAUUUCUAAUUCACUUAUGAUCAAACCAUCAUCAGAGCCAUUAUGCCAUUUCAAAAUAGAGGCAAAAUCCCAAGAAAAUCAUCAGUUUGACAAGUUCUGGAAAUUCUCUCCCUAACUUUUUAGAUAAUAAUUUCCAAUAAAUUGGACAAAUUGCGUCACCCUAAGUUAAAAAAGAUGAAUAGUGCUAGAGACACUCAUAUUGACAUAUUCAAUUGGCUCAAACUUUAUAAUACUCAAACAAUAAAUAGAUUUAUAAAAAUUAGAUAAUGUCACCAUUUUGCCACAUCUAAUGGAAACUGAAGGUGGCAUUGGUAAAAAAUCUUCCAACAAGGAAUGCGUUCAUCAGUAGUUAAGCGCACAGGAGUUGACUUAUUGCUCUCAGACAUUUCGAAAAAGAGACUAACUCGAGCUGUUCAAGCCCAACAUCUUGACAACAUUCAAGAGGGUUUGAACCACAGCAGCAUCUGCUACCUUGGAAGCUGCUCUAGGUUAUUAAAGAGUUGAGAUUCGAGGUACUAACCCCCUUUUAAUUACAAUGGGCAUGCCUUUUCAAAGGCUUGUUGCUCUUUGCGGCAUAAAUCGAACUCGUUUGUGUGGUAAUACAUGCAACCAACAUAAGCAUCCAUCUCUUUUGUGCACCUCUGGUGAAGAUCUUUCAGUCUGCAUAGCCAAAAAUACAUGGUUUAGAUACUGCAACGGAAAGUGGUAAGUAAAAUGCAACAGCUACUUUUAUCAGUUGAAAGAGGUAUAACAAAUUUUUCAGCACCUCCAUUUAAGUUUCCAAAAAGUCCAUUUGUAUCAGACUUCUGUGGGCGAACAUCAUGAAUCAUUGACAGUAAAGCUUAUAGCCAGUUUGUAUUUGCCAAUGCAAGGGUUGUGCAGCCCAAAUAUGAAGACAGUAAUGCAACGACUAAGAGGCUCACAAGUAUGUCUGCAUCUAAAACUAUGAAAAGAAGUAGACUGCAUUCCUCUCACUUGAAAUUGAAAGUGCAGAGCCCAUAAGUCAGUCACCAAGCCGUGUGCUCUGUAUAUCAAGAUCAUCAAGUAUCUAGAAUGAAAUCCCUAUCAAAUGGUGUAAGCAAAGUCUACUGAUCCAAGCAAAAGUCAUAGAUCCCGCACACAUCUUUAUUGAGAGAAAACUCAACCAUACUGAUUCUAAAGCACUAAGUCUUAAAUGCUGCACAAAACAGAAGCCCGACCUAUAUGACUACCUUCAAAGCAGAAAUAAUUGUUCUACCAAGAGAUUUGGAAUUAGGAUCCAGAACUAAGACCCAAGAUACUACUCAACUACAUUUGAUUUAACCAAAAUGAUAAAGAGGUUUAAGGAAGGAAGCUCCCAGCCAAAUGUGAAAGGAGCUCCUUGUGAAGUACUAUAUAUGGUGGUGUAUGAACGAAUGAAAUAAGGGAUGGUCGGUGUUGAGAAAGGAAUUGAAUCAAAAGAAGAAUAUUCUUAACUUUUGAUUCUGAUGGAAAAAUGGAAUGCCCCUUGCUUGUGUUUUUUUUUUUUUUUCUCAAUUCCACUUGAAUGUUCCUUGCAUUAAAGUGGCAAAGCUAAAUGAGUCUUUUUCCCCAAAUGUACCUUUCCUUCUCUCCCUCUUUUACUUUUACGGAAGAGACGAAUUUGAGAAAAAAAAAAACAAGCAAGGGGCAUUCCCUUGGAAUUCUUGCUCCUAUCCUAACAAAAUUUUGUUCAAUUCUUAGUGGAAUGUGGAUGUAAAGAAGACUAAAUUGUCCAUCAAAAUCCAUUCAAAAGAUUGCAUGCUUAACCACAUAUGAAAAUGGAUAACUAAAAACUGGCCAAAAGGGAAUUGAGAAGCGACCCCAUGUCAGAUACCCAACACCAUGUUCUGUGUUCUCCAGACCAUUAAUGACUCCCUUACGAACUCAUAUAGGGAGGAGAUGAACUUGAGAAAACACACAAGCAAGGGGCAUUCUGUUGGAAUUCUUGUUCCUAUUCUCACAAAAUUGUGUUAGAAACUUUGUGGAAUGUGGAUGUGAAGAAAACUAAAUUGUACAUCAAAAUCCAUUCAAAAGAUCGCAUGCUUAACCGCAUAUGAACAGGCAUAGCUAAAAACUGGCCAAACGGGAAUCGAGAUGCGACUGUACGUCAGAUACCCGAAACCAUGUUCUGUGCUUUCCAGACGUAUUAUGACUACAUAUCGAACUCGGUAUGCAAACUACCUUAUACCAAAACCUUUCCCAAUACUAUUCUUAGUUGCUAAUGAUUCCAACUGCCCAUUUUCAAGACAUUCACAAGCAACUAAGAAAAUCCCACGCUCUAUUCUUUGGGGUUUUCUCAGCAACAUUCCCCAAACCAUAUAUGCCAAUCAAACGACGCAAGAAAUGCCCCCACUUCCUCGCAUUUCAGAUAAGCGAACAAACGAUGCGGCAACAACAAGAACAACAAUCAUAUCGAAGGCGACCGCGACUGAAUCGGGGAGCCGCGAGAGAAAUAGAGAAUCACGCUCACAGGUGGAGCACGCAGCGGGUGACUUGCUGGCCCUUCUCGAGGCACUUCUCCGGGUUCGGGUCCUUCUGCUUGCACUUGAGAAAAGCCACGUUCUCCGACAGGCAGCUCGCCCCGAUGUGCAUGGACGACGCCGUCAGCACCGCCGACGUCGGGAUCGGGCCCCCGGCGGCGUCCAGGGACGUCGCCAUCCCGGCCGACAUCGAAUUCCUCUUGGGUUAUCUUCUCUUCCUUCUUAUUCUUCUUCCCUGCGGCAGAGAAGAUGGGUGAAGCAGAUUCUUCUUCAACGAAUGCGUGAUCCGGGAAUUCAAGACCAAGAGAACUCCAGAUCGAAAGGAGAGAUCUUUGAAUUUGUGGGCAAAGUCGUCAUCUUUACCUGAUUGACCGUUCGCAGUUGCAGUACAGAGUGAGAGAGAGAGAGAGAGAGAGUGGAUUCUGCAGUGAUAGAUGAUGAUAUUCUCAACAUCCGCAGUGAAAGUAAUUAUUUUUUUCUACAAAUGAAAUGUUUGUUAAUGAGAAUUUUAGAAGUUUUUUUUUUGAACUAAAAUGAGAAUUUUAGAAUGGCCAAUUGAUAAAAUCCAUCUCAUGUCGAGGUGUUUUUAUGUUUCCAAGAAAUAUCUGUACUUGGAAAAAAAAUCAUUGAUAAACUUAAAUUAUACUAUCAAUCCAUCUUAUGUCGAGGUGUUUUUAUGUUUCCGAGAAAUAUCUGUACUUGGAGAAAAAUCAUUGAUAAUCUUAAAUUAUACUCAUUGUGAUAUACUUAUUUUUCCUUUUUGGUGAUAUGAAAAAUUUAAAUUUGUAUACAUGUGAUAAAUUUAUUCUAAAACUAAAGAUCCCGAACAUUUAUUCUCAUGACACAUUAUAUAUAGAGUUUUUUAUGUCAUUAAAAUAAUUAUAAGUUUGGGAUUUUUUGGGGUAUAAGUUUAGAGUUUUUCAUGUCACAAAAAAAUUUAGUGUAAAUAUAUCAUAACGUGCAUAGUUUAAGGCUUAUUGUUGCCUUUUCCCUUACAUAUAAAUUGAAGUUUCACAAAUUAGAUUUCAAAUUUACUUUCUUGAGAGAUUUAUAAUUAAUGAAAUUUGGGAUAAUAUUAAGGGUUAACACUACAAAAAAAAAUCUUAAAUUAAUAUACUUGUGCCGCAUCCAAAUUAAUUUUGGCGCCACAAAAAAUUUCAAAUUAGUAUUCUCAUGAUAUAUUUAUCCUAAAUCAAUUUUCAUGACACAAAAUCAUAAAUCGGUACAUUCAAGUUGCAUUUAUCACAUUUUCCUUAGAUUCUAAUAAAUUUUAUUACAGAUGUAUUACUUUGAAAUUAUGUACUAGGCUGGAAUUUUUGGUAGUAUCGUUCCUAAAAUUAAAUUUUUUUUCUUCCAGCCUUAUGUUUUUUCAUCAACCCAAGUCCCGACUUGUCCCAAGAAAAGCCAAAGUCAGGUUUUAAAGAGGCACUCUCGUAAUUUUGCGGACACAAGCAUUUCCAUUUACGAGAGAUAAAUUCAGAGGUAUUGCGUUAAUUUUUUAUUUUUUAUUUAUCUCUGAUUAGUGUUUAUAAUCAAUUCUUUACUUGUGUUCUCAUGUAUUUGUAAAAUGAAGUUCAACUAUAUGUGUUUGUGCUGAAAUUACAAGAGUUAGGCUCGGCGGUUGAUUGUCGUUUGAGUUCAUCGAACUGGAAAUGUCGGUAGAAUUGCGUUUCUUGUGCCUUAGACAGACACAAGCGAUUAAGAAAGGAACACAAACUUGAUCUUGAUUCUUGGAUUUUGAAGUCCAGGUUUAGGACGAUUCGGACACCCGAUCGUAGGCUCUUGAAAUUGAUGGCAGGAUUUCUCGAGCUAAAAUUAUAGAUUAUAUUAAAUCAAUACAUUGUUGGGAAGUGAAGGCAUAGAAGAUUGAAGAAUAGGAAAAUUGGAAGUCAAAGUAAAUUAUAAGCCUCUGAGAAUACCGAUAAUCAUAGGCCUAUUCGUCGUGGCUCUAGCCAUUUCGGCCGUGGCAACAGAAUCAGCUCUUAUCUCAUCAAAUUUAAGCUUCCUUUGUUUUAGGGAAGAUGGAUAAUUGAACCUUAAGGGAUGAGAUAAGUUGUGGAUCCGAGAGAACCAUAUUGAAGUUUGAAAAUAGCGUAACGAACACUGUUUUUGCACUGAGAGUAGCCUGGAUGGUACCAAUGCCCUGAAAAUAAUGACUUAUAUUGCUUAAAAUAAUUAGUAAAUGGAAAAAAAAAAUACUUUCAUCAUCCCCAAUCAUUUAUGUCCAAAUAUUUUCUGGGAUCAUGAAAAUAUUUUUCAUUUAUUCAUUAUUGUAAGAAAGUUAAGCCAUCAUUUUUAAGAAGAUAUUUUGUAAAUUAUUCAUUUUUCGCAAAAUAUUUUGUGAGCCUUACAUAGAACUGAUUCCAAAUGAUCCUCUCAUUUUGACAGUUUCGAUCUCCUUUCAAAGAAAUUUUUUUUUUUUUCCUUAAACUUGCGAACGUAGUCUAACAUUUGUUUUGGCGUUUUGUCUACUAUCCAAGUCAAAUGAGAACAAAGAGAAAGAUAGAACCGACGCGUUUAGAGUGGAAUGCUAUUACUUUUGGAAUGAUAAUGGGUGCCGCCUGUUUGAUCUAAUGCUACUCGAGUUCAUAAAAAUCGGAAUGGGGAUUGAUGGAUCCCGUGAAGAUGGAGAAAUCGCUGGCCUUGUUGGAGAAACAGGCGAACCUCUUCAUGGAGUCUUACCGGCGGGCCAAGACAGCAAAGAAAUAGACAACAANNNNNNNNNNNNNNNNNNNNNNNNNNNNNNNNNNNNNNNNNNNNNNNNNNNNNNNNNNNNNNNNNNNNNNNNNNNNNNNNNNNNNNNNNNNNNNNNNNNNAAAAAUUGUGUAGUUAUCAAACGCAUUUAAAUGCUCAAAAACAUGUUCAAAAUAGAAAUAGGAAAAAUUGUUCCCAAAAACAGAAAUAUUACCAUAUGUACCCUAAGUGCUAUUAGAAAAGUAGAAGAAAAGAAAAUUGAAGAUUUAAUUAUUAGGGCAAUAGCCAGAUAACUCUGUCAAGUAUAAAAUAUGCAAAGAUGCUGCUUGCUUGGAUACUUUUCACAAGUAGUAAAAUAUCAGGUAAGUUCUAACCAUCAACCCCCUCAAAGCAACAAGUACUAAACUAUCCACUAGCUGGGUUCUGAAAACUUAUUUGCUACAUUAAUAAUUCUACCGAAAAAGACCAUUUGAAGGAUUAAGUAGUUCAUGUUUCUCAUUAUUGAUCAAAGAGCGGGGUACAUGACUGUAAUCCAUAUUGAGUGCUUAAAACCUUUUGACUUUUUCGAUGACCUAGAGGAAAAAACAUAACCACGGUGAAGCCAGCAUUGUCCGGUACUUGAAUUUGAAAUAGUUAGCCUCAAAUUUCACCGACGACUUCUACACAACGUUAUGACCAUUUAAAAAGAAAAGAAGUGAAGUCUACAGAUAAAAAGUGAAGCCAUCCCAUUUCAUCAAAGCAGAGCUCACAAUAAGAACGUGAUGCACUCAUACUAGAAGAAAAGACUUAAGCUAACAACUUACACCAACCUAUAUCGUCAAUCAAAUGCUAAACAAACAAUAAUAACUCGAAAUGAAAUUACUAGACAUGGCACAACCUUGAUAUUCCCGGCUGCUUUGAUGGCUGCAACAAUCCUGUCUUGGUCUUCUAGCUGUGCUCGCCCCACAGCAGAGAUUACCACAUCAACUUGCUUAAUCGCACUCAACAGACUCUUUUGAUUGUAUAUGUCUCCCUAAGAAUCAAAUAACCAUGAGCAUGGAAAAACAAUCAAUAAAGUGAGCAAUCAUCAACCGAUCCAAUUUUGGCCAGUAGGAAGACUACGAAAAAGGAGAAAUACAAAUGCUGAUAAGACUUCAAUACCUUCACCAGACAAGAAAAAGUGUUAUGAGAAAUUAAAAAAAAAAAAAAAAAGCUGCUAUCCACAGAAUUCUUGUCCAUGCAUUACCUACCAAUCUUUUGAAAGGUUACAACAAGGUAUUUGCAAUGGCAUCUGAAUUACAGAUCAGCCACAUGUACUUCUGUAUAAAAAUUCAUCUACACAGUACGAAACAUAUGGAAAAUUUCAUAAGAUUUGCCUAAAAAUGGAAACUUUCACAAGAUUUGUCUAAAAAUGUACUCGUUCGUUUCAGCAUGCGAAGCUAAGGGGAUUCCUCAGUCAGUGUGAAAAAUGAGAGGGAGAUUGUUUCUGGUUUCACCAACUUACGAGGCCGAAAUAUCAGAGAAGAAAAAAAGGAACGCCGAAUUCUGACGUGACUCCAUCAACUCGAUCUUGUGAAAGAUUGAGAUGAAAAUCGACUCCGAUACUACUGGUUAAAGACAUUUCUCAGAAUUCCGAGCAUGAUCAAAUGGCAAGGGACGCUUCGAUUCCUCGAAGCAGCACCAAAUGUGGGAAACGACCAAAUCACACGGGAAUAACUGCUCACAUGGACUAGGUUCACGUUUAAGCUCUUGAAACCUUCGAUGAUUUCGGCCUUGGCGGGGUUGGAGAGAGUGGACUCCCUCACAAGAGCAAAGGUAGGGCGACCGGACUUAGCGCUCGCUUUCACGAUGAACUUUCCAAUUUCUCCGGUGCCUCCGAUCACCAGGACUCUGCUCUUCUCUGCCAUCUUGGAGGGUCUUUUCACAGCGGGCGUGGCGUUUUCCAGCAAACUUGAUCGGGGAGAGAGAGAGAGAGAGAGAGAGAGCUAAAAGGCGGGGGUUCCUGUCUUCGUGAUGGGACGGAGUGUCAUUGGAUGAUUCUGGAAGGGCAUAAUCGUCUUUUCAAUGAAAUAAUUUUUCUUAUUGAGGUAAUCCUUUACUAGAAAAAGGGUACAUGGAAAGUGGGAAUAGAUAGAAGAUAACCAUUUCGUUUCAUUUUAACUUAAAAAAAGAAAAGCAAGAAAAUUUAAUUUUGAUGUUGCUAUAAAUUUAAGUAAUCGUAAUUGAUGAGGAAGUAGUUGAAACUACUUUCUUUACGUUGACUUUUAUCAUAUGAAAAGAAAAGAAAAAGAUUAUAAAAUGAGCAAUGAGCUACUCUACAUCCAUAUGGUAGCAUGAUAUCAUAGAGCUUCAUAGCCGCUAUGCUAUUAUUUUGAGGUUCAAUGAAUUCUUUUUCUUGGGAGGGUUGAUCACAAGAUUACCCUUCUUUAAUUAAUUGACCAACACAAGAUUACUAUAUUUGUAAUUCAUAACCUCUAUGUGAGAAAAAAGCAGCAUUACGAGUGUCCAUAUAUGUAGUGAUUAGUAAUAAGUUAUUAAACCUUUGACAUCAAUACCAAUUCAAUUUUAAAUAUUUCGAUUUGGUCAAUUUAGUUCUAAACUUUUUAACAAUUUACCUUGCGAUACAAUCUUACGUAGCAUUGAUACUGAUACAUGAUAUGAUAUGAUACGCCAAUACGUCAUUUCCGACACAUUGGGACAUGUAUAUUAAAUGUCAAAUUAAUUAAUUUAAUUCAAAUUCACAAAUAAAUAAAUAAUAAAAGAUAUUAGAAUGAAUUUACACUAAAAAUCGUGAGUCCUAGGAAGUGAAAGUUAAAAGAGAAGAGAAAAGAAGACUAAAUUUUUCUUUUUUUUUUUUAUUAUUAUUUUUAUUACUGCUCACCCGAAAUAUAUCGAUGCCUAAGUUCUUGAAACCUUCGACGAUGUCAGCCUUGGCGAGGUCAGAGAGAGCGGACUCCCUCACGAGAGCAAAGGUAGGGUAACCGGACUUAGCGGUCGCUUCCACAAUGAAUUUCCCAGGUAUCCAAUGUCUCCGAUUACCAGGAUUUUGCUCUUCUCGGCCACCUCGGAGGGUUCCUUCACAGCGAAGGUGCGGUUUUGCCCAGAGAACUUGCUCGCUCUCGUGCUGCGACUAUUGCCUGUUGGCGCGCAUCGAGAUGAAUCGUCAUUUUAUUUUGGUUCCAAAAGGGCAUAAUUCUCUUUUUCGGUGAAUUGACUUUCCCACCCCCGUCAUACUUCGCUCGGAAAAUGAGUAGAAGCAAAAGUGGGCCACGAAAGUUGGAAGAAAUUUACGGUGGAAACUGAGCACGUGCAAAGUACGUAUCUAUCGAUUUUGUGGAAUUUGGACGAUGACGAAAUAUUUUUUGAAACAACAACUCGACUUACUAAAAGUUGCCUGUAUUUGAUGAAGAAAAUUGAUUGUUGCGUCAACAAAACAUCCAUCGAGAUAGAAAAGAAAUUUUUUUUUUUUUUUUUUGAGAUAGAAAAGAAAUUGACGGCCCUAACUUAUGCUGGCUGCAUGUUCUUCAAGGAAUUCAAGAAGGAUAUCUUUUUACAGUAAUUGAUUGUUACUUUCUGACAAAAAAGCUAUUUUAUGUUUCUUCAUUAAAUAUUCUCGAUUUACGGUGGGUUUGGAAAAAAUUGAGCCAAACACACCCCUAAUUAGACAACAAUCCACAAAAUGCUGGGCUUUUGGGAUAAGAAUUUGGCUCAAGAGUCAUCCAGAUUGAUGGCGCAUGCCUCUUUUUGUUCGUGUUUGUUCCCUGCAGUCUAUAAAAGUCCCGGAAACAUUAAUGAUAACUCUACAUUGUGAGGAGUUUGUCAGUCGGUUUACGCUUGUUUUAACUUGUCAUUCUUUAAGAUUAUCCAUAAUCAGGCCACGAUGGAAAUUUCAAUCCUGCUGACACGUUAAGUAUCUAACUUCAAAACAGUGAUCGUCCACGAACUAUUUAGACUUGAAAGACAAUACAAUAUACAAAAAUAGAGAAACCCGUGUCUUUGUGGUAGCUCAGCUUGGCCCAUGAACCCAAUAUCAAUCUCCAAAACAUAAGUAAUUUCUCCAAGCACUUCAUAGGAUGUCCUCAGCCUUUGGGGUUGUACAUUGCAUGUGAUGAUCAGCGAAAGCAACACUUCACACUAGGAUCAUGAGAAGCAGCAUCUUAUAUUUUUUUAUGAUUCAAGCCGAUGUGAGAAAUUUAUCAAGCACAAUCGGGUUCGAUAAUCAGACAAACUGAUCCAAAUACUAAUCCACAAUUGUGGAUUUGACAUUAGUGUAGAGCUCUAAAGCUUCCACUCAAAAUGAUGGCUCAAUCUCGAAGCUGAUUUAAUCUCCUUUCAUGAAAACAUAAUGGAAUACUACCAAUAUCACAUUGAGCAGAACCACCACCUCUGCAAUGACCGGACAAGUUUUAAAUCUUAGAGAGAAUAGAGACGAUUCACGCGCUUAAAUCCAAUAGAAAUGCAUCCCUAACCUUGAAUAUUCUUCAGAACCUCCUCCUUCGAAACAUACACCCUCUCUAGAGUCCUGCCGAUCUUUCUCUCCCACAAUGACACGAGCUCACUAAAAGAGUAGGUGUUGGCAAGAGGUUUGAUGUACAGAAUUUUGUUCAAGAUCCUUGGAUCAUCCACAACUUUAAUGGUGUAGGUGCCAAUGUCAUCCUCCUUGUUAAACACCACUGCAUAUUGGCGUGGAGAGUUUUAGAAUUUGGCUAAUAAAUAAAUCACAGAGCCAUUGAUCUUCCUAGGGUUACUUUCGGCUCGAAUUGAAGAAGAAUUCUCUCGGUAAACAGAUUCAUCAAACAACCGGCAGACAGAUGCAUCCAUAUGUUCUUUUCUCAACGAAAUACAUGAAGAGAACCUUCACGAUCUGCCCACUAGGUGGUAUUAUGCCAAGAUAAACCACAACACACUCAUAUCAUCUACUAGGCUCUUAAGGUGAAGACUAAUGGAUGUAAGAAUCCUAAUAUCUCCAGACAAGGACGUUGCCCUGGAAUUCUCAAGCUUCAAGAACUGCCCCUCACACUAAUCACUACUGUAAUUAAAUCGUGAUUAAUGUACAGAAAAAUCUUAACUAGCGAGAUUAACGGCAAGGGACACUUCAGUUGCUCAAAGGAGCAUCAAAUGCGGGAAACAAACAGGAUUGCAUAGGAAGAACUACUCACAUGAACUAAAUUGACGCCUAAGCUCCUGAAUCCUUCAGUGAUGUUGGCCUUGGCAAGGUCGAAGAGAGUGGACUUUCUCACGAGGGCGAAGGUAGGGUGACCAAACUUAGCACUCGCUUCCACGAUAAAGUUUGCUUUAGGUCUUUGCUCUGCUUAUAAUUUUCUGGUGAGAGGAGCGACUGGACAGUUAUAGACGCUUCCACUGCAUUAUAGCAACCAUAAACAAAAGUCUCCUAAAAAUCAAUCGGUCAAUUUCGUUAAAGUCACUAAAGAAUGUCCAACCUUUUUGUAGGAACUUGUCAGAUAAUGCACACUUCAAUCCGAAAGUCCUUGGUUGUCAAUCUGAUUGGUCACAUACUUGACAUGUGUCCCUCCCUUAAUAGUAGCUAUCCCAUUCACCAAGCUGAACUGUUUUAGAAUUCACAAUGUUAAAUUCGUUCAGUAGCUAUCUAGCUCUAUAUUCGCCCGUUACAGAAGAAAGUAUUCAAACUACCUAUUGAAACUGUCCUUCGCUCAGGCUUAGACAGACUUCCACCACUCCUCACAGUCUCCUGAAUACUGAUCCAAUCAAGUAAAUUAAGUAUUCAGAAUACCAUUCCGAACUACAAAAUGACACUAAUCAGACAAAAAGAAAGGAGAGAACCUUGGGAGGAAGGAACGUUCUGGUUUUAUUUUCAUAGGCAUAUUUGAGACAGACGCAUGUUUUCACAGGAACCCUUUUCCCGUUCACCUCGAUCUUCUCUGUCUUCCCGAGACACCCAGCCAAGUCAAUCACACGCUUUUUCAUCAAAGCAACCACAUCAUCUUCAAGGUGGGUCAUGUUAAACUUUGCCAAGUCUGGCUUGAAUGAGACCUUGGUCCAGUUUCCGCCUGCCUCGCAUGCCUUAAUAUCAGGUGGGCCUUUCAAUCUCAUGUUUUGUUGAGAAAACCUUUAAAUCAGUGGAACAGAUCAGUAUAGGAGUUCAACCAAAGCAAUCCCGCUAACCCAAUGAAAACCAAAAUGCAGUCCUAUUACUGCUAAACCCACUGCUGAGAACACUCGACAGUCCCUGAUCGCGAACCCACCUGUUCCAAUCGAAAUGUCCUUGCCCCCUGCCCCUCCCACUCUGCUUGAAGGGAAUGUGCAGGCUGUAGACAGAACGUGAGACAACCCCCUUUUUAUCAAUAGGCCCGAUGCUGGUUGUACUUCUCCAGGGGAGAAUUUUUCAGAACUACAGAAGGAUGCAGUUUCUGCUACUGUUAUUGCACCGACCACUAAAGCUUCUGUUGCAAUGGCCUCUGGUUGUGAUGGUAGUCAGGAGGUGGCGUGCUCUGCUAGUAUUCCUCCCGCACUUGCUGACCCGGGGUGGAAGCAAGUUACAAAAAAGAAAAAGGCUCAGGUGAGCAAAGAAGCUGCCUCUUUUAGCCUAGCCCCGCCUAGUGAAGGAGGCCAACUGAAAGGCUCUACUUCUGUUAAAGCUGGUACUGCUUCGUUGCCUCGUAAGAUUGCUGGAGUCUCUAAGGCCGUUGUAGGCUCUUCUCUGGCAAAAGCGAAGGCUUCUCCUUCCAUCCUGCCUGAAUGCUCAGAUGAGAUAGCUAACUCCAGCAUCCAUGCUGGAUCGGAUGAUGAGAACCUGCUUUCGGUUGGUUGUCCCUCGCCAAAAGGUCCACCUACAAGCGUCUCGGAUGAGACGAUACAAGAUAAACUUCUGCUUUUAUGCCUGGAUCCUCCUCUUUCGGUGGCUCCUCCUCCGACAACUGCUCGGAAAAAGACCACUAAAAAGAGGUAAUCUCUUCCUCUCUCCUUGUAAAUAUGUAUAUAGCUGCUUGGAACAUUAGAGGCCUUUGUGAUCCUCUCAGAAGGGCUGAAGUUAGGAGAUUGGUCUCCACUCACAACCUUUGCUUUAUUGGUCUCAUUGAGACUAAAGUUCCCAAGAAUGCUUUUGAUUCUAUAUCUUCCUUCUUGUUGAAUGGCUAGAAAUGGGUUGUAAAUUAUGAAUUCUCCCCUCGUGUUAGAAUAUGGGUUGGAUGGAACCUAGGGUAUGUUAGUUAUGAAACCUUAUCAAUUAAUGACUAGGCUAUUCAUGGCCAUCUGAGGCUUACCUUAACUGGUAGAGUUUGCUGUGUGACUAUAGUAUAUGAGGAACAUUCUUUUAUUCAUCGAUGGCCACUUUGGGAGGACCUUCUCCGUAUGAACAAUCUUAUGCAGGAAAUACCUUGGUUGGUUGCCGGUGAUUUUAACACCAUUAAGGAUCCUUCAGACCGUUUCGGUGGUUCCAACAAUUGGAUCCCUUACUUUGAUGAAUUCAGCAAUUGCUUAGCUCAAUCUGAUUUGGAGGAUCUCAGGUAUGUCGGUCUUCGAUUUACUUGGUUGACCUCUACUGGAGCUACUAGAAAGAUGAGAAAAAUUGAUCGUGUCUUGGUUAAUACUAAAUGGAAUUCGGAUUUCUCGUACUCGGAGGCCUCUUUCUUGAACCCGGGCAUCUUUGAUCACUCUCCCAUGGUUGUCAGAGUACUCAACUUGAUUCUUACGAGAAGACCUUUCAAGUAUUUUGAUUUUUGGUCAAAGCACUCCGACUUUUCCUCCAUCAUUCAGCAAAUUUGGUAUAGACCGGUCGAUGGAGUUGCCAUGUUUAGACUUGUGUCUAAGCUUAAAACGCUGGAAGGACGACUUAAACAAUUGAAUAGAGAAGCCUUCUCGAAUAUUUCAGUGAGGACAGCGGAAGUUAGAGAGGCUCUUUGUCUUACUCAACUUGAUCUUCACCUCGACCCAAAUUUUUCUGAUCUUGCAAAUCUUGAGAAGACGCGUCGCAAACUCUGUGGACUUAUGCAGAUAUGAAGAAUCCUUCUACAGGCAGAAAUCAAGAGUUCGAUGUCUUAGGGAAGGCGAUCGAAAUACAAAGUUUUUUCAUCACUCUGUCAAGAGAAGGCAACUCAGAAAUAGGAUCCUUUCGGUAAAGGAUACUUCAGGUGCUUUAAUCACUAACCCUACUAUGGUUCCUCAAGUUUUUGUCUCGUUCUUCAUUGAUCUCCUUUCUCCUCAGAAGGAACUUUCCAGGCCUUCCUUGCAGGAAUUAAAGGGGUUCAUUCGAAGACCAUUGUCGACUGAUCAGAUCAAUACUCUUUCCAGCCCGAUUCUUGACUCUGAAAUUUGGGAUACGCUUUUCUCUCUUGUGAAAGGCAAAGCUCCCAGCCCUGAUAGCUUUAUUGUCGAGUUCUUUAAGCAUUGCUGGGGGAUUGUUGGCCCGCUGGUGAUAGAGGCAGCUAAAGAUUUCUUCUCUUCAGGCCGAUUCUUGAGAGAGGUAAACAAUACUAUACUUGCUUUGGUACCUAAAGUGCCUAAUGCUUGUGCUGUGACAUAUUUCCAACCUAUUGCUUGCUGCAAUAUUAUUUAUAAGCUAAUCACCAAAAUUUUGGCUAAUCGCCUAGCUGCAGAUUUAAGUGAUUUGGUUGAUCCUUUCCAUAAUGCCUUCAUUAAGGGGAGAAGGAUUAGGGAUAAUAUACUGAUGUCGCAGGAACUAUUUGCCGGAUUUCAUCUUGAACCGUAUCUUCCCAAAUGUGCAAUAAAAGUGGACUUCUAAAAAGCCUAUGACACUGUUGAUUGGGACUUCCUUCAACUUACUCUUACGGCGUUUGGUUUUCCUGAUUCUCUUAUUCAACAUAUUAUGGUGUGCAUCCGGACCCUGAAAUACUCUAUUUCUAUCAAUGGAGAGCUUCACAGAUUCUUCCCAGGUGGGAGAGGCCUUCGCCAGGGCGACCCAAUGUCUCCCUACCUAUUCACCCUUGUGAUGGAGAUGUUUUCUGGCAUCUUGAAUGCCCGCACUGCUCUAAAAGAGUUCAAGUAUUUUUGGAGGUGCAAAGCAGUCCAGCCGUCUCACCUUUUUUUUGCCGAUGAUGUAUUUCUUUUCAGUCAGGCUGAUUGGAAUUCCAUCACUGUAUUAAAAAAUGCCUUGGAUUUAUUUUCUUCAUGGAGUGGCUUAAUCUCGAACAAGAACAAGAGCGAAAUUUUUAUCUCGGGUGGGGCCUCUUCUUUGCAGAACUAUAUCCUUUUGGCAUUUGGCUUCCAAGAAGGGAAACUACCAGUGCGUUAUUUAGGAGUGCCUAUCAUCUCCUCUAGGCUUCGGAAAGCAUACUGUAUUGCCUUGAUUGAUUGGAUUACUGCUAGGGCUCAAUCAUGGACUCAACAUUUCCUAUCAUUUGCAGGAAGAUUGCAGCUUAUUAGGUCAGUCCUACAUUCUAUCCAAGCAUUCUGGUCUAGUGUUUUUACCUUGCCGGCUUCAAUUCUUAUUAGCAUCGAGAGAAUUUUCAGACAAUUUUUAUGGAAAGGCACCACGCUUGGCAGAGGUGGAGCUAAGGUUGCUUGGGAUGAAGUUUGCCUUCCCAAAAAUGAAGGAGGAUUGGGUAUUCGCAAGUUGAAGGACUGUAACAAAGCAGCGAUGCUUAAAUAUAUAUGGAUUCUUUUCACAUAUAAAGAAUCCUUAUGGUGUCGUUGGAUUCAUUCCAACUUUUUAAAAAGGAAGAUUUUUUUGAUCUCCUCUUCUCCUACUGUGUGCUCUUGGGCUUGGAGGAAAAUAUUACAUUUAAGAGUAGAAUUUCGGCUUUCUUUCUCCUGGAAAAUUGGGGAUGGACUUUUGGUUUCCUUAUGGUUUGAUCAUUGGCUCUCGAAAGGCCCUCUCGACCAGUUGAUUCCAAAUUCUUUCAUUGAGUCUUCUGGUCUUCCCAAGCAUGCUGUGGUUGCAGAUCUCUUUCCCCCCUUAGGCUAUUCACUCAGAAAUCUUUUAGAAUGCUGGGGAUUUUCCAUUCUGUUGGUUACCUUUGGCCCGGAUCAGUUCCUUUGGCGUCGGCACCCUUCCGGUUCCUUCUCGGUGGCUAGUGCUUGGGAUUGUAUUAGAUCUAAAAACAACCGGGUUCUCUGGGCUUCGCUUAUCUAGAAUAAUGAUAUUGCUCCUAGAUUCCAAUUCAUUCUUUGGUUGAUUACCAAGAACCGGUUGCCUACCUAGGAGUUCCUCCUCGCUUAUGGCAGAAUUGAUUCUAGAACAUGUGCUUUCUAUAAUGAAGUCCCAGGCUCCAUUGAUCACCUAUUUUUUGAUUGUCAUGCUUCGGCUUCUCUUGCCUUCUUUUGGGCUACAAGAUGCAAUUUACCUUGGCAUUUGAGGCCGUGGGUGGAGAUCCUUCCUUGGGCCAUUAAAUUCCUAUCCGAUAAUGAUUUUUUCCACCGUAUCGUUCGCUUCUCUUUUGGUGCCUUAUGCUACUUGAUCUGGAAGAAAAGAAAUGAUAUCAUCUUUUGAGGGGAAACGUUGGUUCUCUUUGCGUUGAAAAAUCACCUUUUAAAGGUUGUCAAGGACAAGUCCAUCACCUUCACCAAUGUUCCGGAUAUUUCGAGGAACAGGCGUCUCCAGAGAAGCCGGAGUCUUGACCCCUCCAUCUUCACCGAUCAUCUUUUGACUUUGCAAUUUGUUCGUGGUUUCUUUCGUAGGCCUGCUUACAAGCUGUCUUCAAGUCUCCGUUCUUUGACUCUUCCAUUGGAGUUGGUUGAGGGUUGUGUGGGCUGUUGCGGGUUGUAGCUUUUGUGGCCAUCUUUGUCUUUUUUUCUUUCGGUUGUUGUUGUUUCCUCCUUUGCUUUGUAGCUUCUUUGCUUCGGCUCGCUUCCACUCUUUUUGCUAUUGCACUUAGAGUGUAAGCUUUGGCGCCAUUUUGUACAUUUGUCCUAAGCUUUAUUUAUUCAUUACCUUUACCAAAAAAAAAAAAAAAACACACACACACACACAUAGGUUUAUACACAAAUGUUUACAAAAGGGAUCGGCUCCCAAUAAAAGAGAAUUGUCCUAUGAUUAGCUAGUCGGACAAGAUCGCCGAUUCUUUGAGCUUCACCUCUUAAACUUCGGGGCUUAUGGUCCUUCACCAAUAUUAUCUAAGGACCUGAAAAUGGUUAUACAAUAACCAGUGAGACAAUAUUUCAGCGAGUUCUACCCCCUAAGACUCGAUUAGGAAGCAAAUACGCCAUAAGGGUUGCCUAAGCACAAUCACAAGUCGGAUGACUUACCUUGAUCUCAGUUCUUCCCUGCAAUUCAACACAAUUCACAAUCUCAUCGAGUCACAUCAACAUAUCAAAUCAUUCACUCAGAUCGACUUAUCGAUCAAUCGACUUAGCCGAUUACAUGUCCAUCAGACUAUUCCCCGAUCAUUCUAAUCAAUACUAUACAUUUUCCAAGAUGAUAUAUCUAGUCACCGAGCCCAGGUGCAUUCUCCAAGAUGACAUAUCUAGUCACCAAGCCCAUGUACAUUCUCCAAGAUGACAUGCCUAGUCACUGAGUCCACGUACAUUCUCUAAGAUAACAUGCCUAGUCACUGAGUCCACGUGCAUUCUCCAAGAUGACAUAUCUAGUUACUAAGCCAAUAUAAUAUAAUGUUCUUUCUCCAAGAUGACAUACUGAGUCAUCAAGUCAAACUAAUAUAAUGUUUUUCUCCGAGAUGACAUACCAAGUCACCGAGCCAACAUGAUAUACGUCUUUCUCCGAGAUGACGUACCAAGUCAUCAAGCCGACAUUUGUUCUCCAACAAUUUCUCACUUUCUAUCAUACUUGGUAAAAUAGCCAUGUGUGGGUACAUGGUUGGCCUUAGCCAAAAUAUAAUAACUUCAUUUCCAUAAAUCUCACCAUUUUAUAUAGUCCACAAAAUAUUUUUGACGUUGUAAACUAACGUUCGGUUAUUUUCCAAUCAAUUACUGAAAUUAAAUCAAUUUAAGAAUAAAUUCCAGAAAUGCAAUUCAUGCACAAUCAGCACAAUUUAAAGCUUAAUUAAAUAAACAAGUUGUUUCACUGCAAUCAGCAUAAAAUUCUGGUCACCGGCUAUUCCGAUCUAAUUUUCAUAAAAUAAAUAAAUAAUUAAAUAAUUACGGAAAUAUAUUAAAUAAAUGCCAAUAAAUCCAACUUAGGCCCGUAAUGCCUAAUUGGACGCCGAAACAGAUCUGAAAAAUUUCUAAGACUUGUUAAAUAAAUACUAGAGUCUAUUUACUCGCUAAUUGCACUAACUAUCCACCUAACAUGUAUUGGUAAUUAAUUAAAUUCACUAAUGUAAUCUAACUAAUCACCUAAUCAUACUUAAUAUAAUCAACCCUUAAGUGUGAUUAACCUACUAAACAAAGAUUAGUAAGUUAAAUUCACUUGUUCGGCGAUCCGGUUGGUGCAAAUCAACGGGGACACAACGGGGCUCGAUUCUCUCCAAAGUGGGCCAAACUUUCAUGGUCCGGAACAACCUCAAAAUGGGCCAAAUCCUUGCUAGAAAACCCACUCCUUAAACUUCUAUUCUUGGCUAGAAAAGAAGAAAAUAGAGGUUGGUUUGGCGAGGUAAGGGUAGUGAAGGUAGUAGGGACACUCGGUGGCCACCGGCAGUGCUUCACGGCGGUUGAACGGGGCGAGAUGGCUCUAAUUGAGCCUGUUGGACGGUGACGCAUGCCUGGAUGACAAGCUGGGUGUGGCUAAGGCAAACGGCACACACGGGCGAAGGCGGAGCAACGAUGGGCUAGCGUGGGGGCGUCGAAUGGCUGCGGUGGCGUGCGGCAGUGACGGGCUGCUCAGCUGGUCUUCUCUGGCUUGCUGCUGGUGUCGAUCAACACAAAUGGAGGUGGGAUGGAGGCUGCUGACCGGUAGGGAUAAGGAGGGGGGCAAGGGGGGUCACUUAGUCUCAUUUUCUCCUUAUUUGUCCUCCAAGACCAAGUCCAACUUGUCCACCAAGCUUGGCCAUCUUCCACUAGCAUUUUCCAGACCCGUUUGCCCCCAUCUAGAAGCUUGAGAGGGUCCAAAAGUCAUGGUGGUGGGGGGCAUACGAAUUUGCUUGAUUCUCUCAUCAAAUGGACACUUAUUCUUGCUUAAUUCAUCACAAACCAGUCUCCAUAAAAUCAACCGAUAUCUCAUUGAUCCAAUUAGUAUUUUUCCUCACCAAUUGAUCCCACUUGCAUCCCAAUUUCGCGAUAAAAAACGAUCCCUGACUUUUUUUUUUGACAAAAACGGCCUUAUGACGAUUUUUUCCCAAAAAGUCUCGGUUUGCAAACAAAUCUCCUAAGACUAAGUCGACGUUCCUAAGAUGAUUUGUAACAUGACAGAACUUUCAAUUUCUGAAAUCGGAUUCAAAUUCGUUGUUAAUUUCACUCUGGCACGUUUUUAGCGUGACCUAGGCUACAAGGUAUCUUUUAGAAAUUUUUAGUGCCAAUGACCCAUGGUCGAUUUUCUUCGAGCCACAAUGAACUCACUCGACACAUUGGUGACUCUCGGUUGUCGUGAAAAUCUCGAGGAUUCAAAUACGAACAUAGGGUACCAAAACGAUAGAAAAAUUAGUUUAAUGUCGGUCGACGAGAAUUUUUCAAUUUAGUGGAGUCACCCAUGUUUAGUCACACAUUUCAAUUGAACCAAUCUAUCUCUAAUUCCUAAUUGACUUAUAUAUGUGCCAUAAUGACCUCUAAAAACAAGUACGGUCGAGUAUUCAAUUCCUGGUCGAAUUCUCCAGUCUAUUGCAUUAAAAUUCCUUAAUGGCUUCCCUAGAUAGUUUAGUUAUCUCAAAGUGAUUAGCUCUGAGAACAGCCCUAUAGGCACGUUGAUGAAAUGUCUGAUUAAUUUAAAUGAAAGCAAAAGUGAAAAAUUCAAGAUGUCACAACAUGCUUAAUUUUGAGUUGAGCACGAGUUCGAAUCCCUCAAGUAUCUUAUCGAGUUGAGUUCGCGCUUUUUGAUACUUAGCUCGAUACCUUAUCGAGCUUUCAUUAUUAAAAGCAUUUGAUAACUAUAAAAAUAUAUAUGAAGAUAUAAUAUCCGAGCUUACAAAAUCGAAGCUCGAGUUUUGAUUGUAAGUUUGACUAUAAUCAAAUUGAGCUAGGGUAUUAUGAAACCCUAAGUGCCUUCGAUCAUUAGGACCUUUGCUCUUAUUAGCCAUCAAAGAGUUUUCCCAACAGGAGGUGUGGUUUUUCUUAGCGAACUUGCUUGGUCUCUGAAGCGACUCUGCCGUACAGAGAGGGUGGGGGGUUCUUGUCUUCAUAAUGGAUUGUCAUUGGAUUUUGAUUCCGAAAGGGGCAUAAUCGUCUUUUUAGUGAAAUAAUCUUACUUGAUGAGACAAUCCUUCACUGGAGAAAGGGCACAUGGAAAGUGGGAAAAUAAAAGAUAACAAUUUUGUCCAAUUUCGGUGAUGAAUAAAUUAAGAUAGAUUUAACUUAACAAAAAACCAGAAAAUUUAAUUCUGAUGGUGCUAUAAAUUGAAGUAAUUGUAAUUGUGAAGUGUUAGGGAUUCUAUUCAAUUAAAUGUCAUGUUUUUACUAUAAAAAAACCCCUAAAUUCGGUAUUCAUAUUACAAAUUUACCUUAAACUAUUUUUUUGAAUAUCAAAAACCUUAAACUGGUACACUUGUAAUAAAUUCACCAAAAACUAAUUUUUUAUCACAAAAAACCCCAAAUUGAUAGAUCCUAACAAAUUUACUCAAAACUAAUAUUUUAACAACAAAAAGCUCCAAACUGAUAAACUUACGACAAAUUUAUCUUCUGUUAACUUCUGUCAAAUUUUACUAUUAAAUUUGCUAACGUGGAUAACACAUGGUAAUGUGUCAUGUCCAUAGGGUAAAUAUCAUGAAAAACUCCAAACCGAUAUACUUAUAACAAAUUUAACGUUACUUUUGUGAUAAAUUUAAUGAUACGCCUAUGAUAAAUUUGGGAUUUUUUGUGACAUUAAUCCAAUGAAUUAUUACAUGGACUUGCUAUGUCACCAUAACAUGUCACAAUGUGUCAUUUACCUUAACAAAUUUAAUGGUAAAAUUUGAUGGAGUUUAAUAGAAGGUAAAUUUAUCACAGUCAUACCAGUUGGGAAGUUUGGAGAUUAUCAUGAGUCUACCAAUUUAAGGUAAAUUUAUCACAAGUAUAUUAAUUUGAGAUUUUUAGUUGUCAAAAAAUUUAUUUAGGAUAAACUUAUUAUGAAUGUACCAAUUUGAAAUUUUUCUUAAUAUUAACCCUUUAAUUUAUUGGCCAAGGUUACUACAUUCGUAAUUUGCAACCUCCACGGAUAAAAGCAACAUUAUGAGAGUUGAAAUGUGAAAUGAUUUAACAACAAUCCUAAACCUUUAAUAUAUCAAUUCAAUUCUCAACUUUUAAAUUUGAUUAAUUUAAUUCUAAAUAUUUUAAAGAUUUAUUUUGCGAUACAAUCAACACUAAUUAAAUAAUGCAACACAAUCAAUGCUAACGUAAAAAAAAAAAAUCAAUUUUAAAAAAAAAAAUCUGAUUUUUUUUUCCUUCCUUUUCUUUUCAUUUCUUCGUACUUUGUUUUCCCUUCUUCUUCUUUUUUUGCUUUCCUUCUUCCCCUGCCAAUUGCCUAGCCUGGGCAAAGGCCACAACAUCCUUGCCAAGGGUUGACCUCAUCGUCAAAGGCUCCAAUUCAUUACCACACCAAGGACGCACCACAUAAAAUAUACAAAAUUAGAGAACCCAAUGCCUUUCCUUUUGCUUUCCCAUAAAUAAAAAACAAUGUCAACUCCAAAAUAGAAGAAACUUCUCCAAGCACUACAUAGAUGCAAACAAAUCGAAUGUUCAUAGUAUGUCCUCAUAUUUGAAGGUUGUACACGCCAUAAGAUGAUCAGUGGGAGCGACAUUUCACACAAGGAUCCUAACAAGCAGAAUCCUAUAUUAUUCAUGAUUCAAACUACUAUGAAAUAUCGACCAAUCCCAAGCAGUUUCAGCCAUUAGACAAAUUAAUCAAGGUACUGAUCCACAGUCGUGUAUUUGACGUCGGGAUAGAGCUCUGAAGCUUCCACGCCGAACGAUGGCUCAAUCUCAAAGUUGUUUUGGUCUCCUUUCACGAAAACGGAAUGAGAUAUUGCCAAUAUCACAUUGAGCGGAACUGCUGCCUCUGCAAUAUCAUCAGACAAGUAGAUUGAUCAAUGUCAGAAUACUAAAAUCCCGGAGAGAAAUUGACAAUUUUACAUGCUUAAAUCUAAUAGAAAUGCAUCCCUAACCUAGAAUGUUCUUCAAAACUUGCUCCUCUGGAACGUAAACCCUCUCCAGGGUCUUGCCGAUCUUUCUCUCCCACAAAGACACGAGAUCAUUAAAUGAGUAGGCGUUGGCAGGAGGUCUGAUGUACAUAAUUUUGUUCAGGGUCCUUGGAUCAUCCAUAGCUUUAAUGGUAUAGGUGCCAAUGUCAUCCUCCUUGUUAAACAUCGAUGUAUAUUGACGGGGAGAAUUUUAGAAUUCAGUUAAUAAAUAUAAGCCAUCAAUAUUCCUAGAGUUACUUUCAGCUUGCAUUCAAAGAAGAAUUUUUUCGAUAAACAAAAUCACCGGACAACUCGCAAACAACUGCAUCCAUACAUUCUUUUUUCUAUCAAAUACAUUAAGAUAACCUUCAUGAUCUGCUGCCCAGGUAGUGUUGUGCCAAGAUAAACCAAAUAACUUCCAUGUCAUCCGUUAGUCUCUGAAAGUGAAGACUAAUGGAUGUAAAAGGCCAACAUCUCCAGACACAGAAGAUGCCUAGAAUUCUCAAGCUUCGAGAACUACCCCACUCUGAUCACUACUGUGAUUAAGUUGUGAAAAAUGUACAGAAAAAACUCAAAAAUUAAAAUGUGCAUCUCAAGAAAUUGCUUCUUACCUUUUACAUUUCCAUCCCCUAAAAUAACAACUUUAUCUCUAGGGGGACUGUAGCCCCAGGCUGCGACAACGUUGGAAGGAAGUAACCUGCAAAAAAGUUAGAAGACACAUAGGUAUAAGGGAUUCCCUCAGCCUCAACAAGGUGGUGAAUCUUGGCCUUAAUAGCAAAUGCAGUUUUUGCUGGCUCCACAGCAUGGACACGAUCCACAUCAUUUCCAAAUUCUGAAGGUAAGAAUCUCUGUGAAGCAAAUUAACUAAAUUAGAAGAAACAUUUUCACUAGAAAGCAACAAAAAACUAGAGUAUAUACCCCUUAUCGAACAAACUUACAUGAGUUCUGGCAAACAAAGAAAACAAACUUACUUGAGAUUGAAUUUCACGUUUUAAUACGUUACUAUAACAGAGUAAAAAUGAUUACAAGUGAAUCAAUACGAGCAAUGAAGCAAAUUUAACCCCAAGUGCUAUUAGAAAAAUAGAAGAAAAGAAAACUGAAGAUUUAAUUGUCAAGGCAUCAGCUAGAUAAGUCUGUCACGUAUAAAAUAUGCAAACAUGCCGUUAGCUUGGACACUUUCACAAGUAAUAAAAUAUUAGGUAAGCCCAAUGCCUUUUGUGAGUAUAUGCUGAGCUCCACUCACUAUGGACCGUCAUCCCCCAAAGCAACAACUACUAAACUAUCCACUAACUAGGUUUUGGUAACUUAUUUACAACAAUAAUGAAACCACCAAAGAGAGACCACUUGAAGGAUUAAGUAGUUCAUGUUUUCAUUCAUGAUCAAACAGCACGGUAGAUGACCGCAAUCCAUAUUGAGUGCUUGAAACCCUUUUAACUUUUCCAAUGACCUAGAGUAAACCCAACCGCAGUGAAGCCCGCACUGUCCGGUACUCAAAUUUGAAAUAGUUGUACUGAAAUUUCACUCACGACUUCUACACAAAGUCAUGACUAUAUAUUAGAAAGGAAAGAAAUGAAGUCUACGGACUAAAAAGUCAAAUCCAUCCCAUUUCGACACAUUGCCCACCGAUCUUUACAAGAUCAUAACAAGGAAUCUUACGGUUCUUACCAUGACAUCUGCAGAACAAAUCAGCCACAUUUACUUCUAUAUAAAAGUUCAUCUACGCAGUACAGAACAUAUGGAAAAUUUCGUAAAAUUUGUCUAUAAAUGUACUCGUUCGUAUCAGCAUGCGAAGCUGAGAUGAUUCGUCAGUAACAAAAUAACAGAGGAGAGAAAGAGAAACACCAAGCCGUAACGUGACUCCGUCGUCAACUGCGAUCUUGUGAAAGAUCGAGAUAAAAAUCGUCUCCGAUUCUAUGGCUAAAGACAUUUCUCCGAAUGAAGAACAAGAUGAACGGCAGGCGACGCUUCGAUUCCUCGAAGCAGCACCACAUGCGGGAAACGAACAGAGAUUGCACGGGAAUGACUACUCACGUGAACUAAAUUGAUGCCAAGCCUCUUGAAAACUACUACGAUUCCGGCCUUGGCGGGGCUGGAGAGAGUGGACUCCCUCACGAGAGCGAAGGUAGGGUGACCGGACUUGGCACUCGCUUCCACGAUGAACUUUCCGGUGUAUCCGGUGCCUCCGAUCACCAGGACCUUGCUCAUCUUCUCAAUACGUGCUUUUUUACGGGUACGUUGAUCGAAGGUUUCCGGAACUGCUCUGUUGUUGCCAGAGAGAGGCAUAGCGAGAGAGAGAGAGAGUGGGGGAGAUAGAAUAUAGAGAGAUGGGGGGAGAGAGGGAGAGAUAAAAAGCGGGGAUCCCGUCUUAACGACGAAGCGUCAAAUUUAGUGCAUCCUAGAAGGGUAUAAUCGUCUUUUCAGUGAAGUGAUUUUUUCUCGUCCUUCACUGGAAAAAGGGUACGUGGAAAGUCGGAGACUUUGCAGAAGAAAAUGAAAAUGUGUGAAAUAAGCCAAAAUAUGAAAAUUUGAAUUUUAAGUUUGGAAGGUGCUGGAAAUACAGGUAAUGGCAUGAUUUUGAAACGUGAGAGACUCGAAUUAACUUCAUAUUAUGAUUUUAUUUUAUUAAGCCAUCACAAUUGACAUUGAUUUUUCAUGUGACCGAAAAGGAAAGAGCUUUUCAUAUUAUGAUUUUAUUUCUCUAAUUACGUGUCAAGCCAUUGCAAUUAAUAAUAAUUUUUCAUGUGACCAGUGAGGAAAGAGUUGAAAUCGCAUAUUAGGGUUAUCGGAUCAUAUUAAGAAAAGAAAGUGAAAAUGGUAUCAAAGGGCAACGAACUGCUCUCCAUGCAUGUUCUGUGUUGAUCAAAAGAUUGCUGUUUUUCAUUUUCUUUUUUUUUUUUAAAAAGAAAAAGAAAAAAGAGAACAACCUUGUUAGAUUCGUUUGGGAAUUCAAGAGAAAGCAUGAUGUAAGCAAAUCAUAAGCAUGAUGCGAUAAUCUCUUUAUGAUUAAAGUUAAAGGAAUUUAAGUUUGGAUGUCCAUUCGAAUUGAAAAUGAAAUUUUUAUUUAUUUUAUAAAGUUAGUGAGAUAUUUCAUAGUACUGUCGUUGAGAAAAGGCCCCAAAAAUCUAUGCCCACCGUCCAUGGUAUGGUGCGAAAUAAUUCAUUAAUUCAGUCCACUAAUACACAAAUGGCCGAGCUUGGAGAUGGGAAUUUGUUUUGUUGUUAUACAUGCACGUAGAUGCAAUCGCAAAACUCUUACCAACAAUAUAAAUUGCCAAAUUUUGAAUGUGACUCUUGAAGUUUUGGCCCAGUCCAAAUCGACCCCCUGCUGUUACUUUUCUGUGAAUCAACUCUAGAAAUCUGUCACAAUUGAGUCCAAAGUGAUCACUAUUCCGGCAGGGAGAUCAGAUCGAAUUGAGGCCAGGAUGUCCUUACUUCCAUAUGAAUUGUGAAGUUAAAUGGCAAGGAUAAAACCAUUUUAAAAUUGUUUACAACUUGCUUAGAACUUAAACACUUGAAAGGGAAUUUUAAAUUUUGAGACGAAUAAUCAACGAUCAAAUACUUAUUACUAAACGUGUCCCAUACCGUUAUAACAACUCUCCGAACAUAUUGGCAAAAGUCUUUUGUCGGUCUCGACAGCAAAAAAUCUUCCAAUUUCAAGAGGCGCAAUAAAUCUAUGAAAACUCCCGGUUGGAGUAUAUACUAAGAUUUAUUAUGACGGUUCACUUUCUAAAUUUAAAUGGACCCAAAUGAUAGCAAUUUAGCACGGUCUUGACCCCGUUCACAACUUCUAUUCGGUCGUAAUCCCAGACAUACACUAUUAUUGGCAUCGCAGACUAUUUGAUAAGAUGGACAGCAGAAAUUUCGUUUCAUAAAGAAGGAGCGACAUAGCAUGACAUGCCUCAGAAAUGGAGAAACUCUUUCUUUUCGCUUGGCCGAUAAACCCAUGUCAACUCCAAACAGAAUUAACUUCUCCAAGCACUGUGUAGAUUCGCACAUAUUGAUUGUUCAUAGCAUGUCCCUAUAAUUGGAGGUUGUACAAGCCAUGAGAUGAUCAGCGGGAGCAACAUUUCAUACGAGGAUCCUAAGAAGCAGCAUCCUCUAUUAUCUAUCAUUCGAGCUGAUGUGAGAAACUUACCAAGCACAGUAGGUUUUGAUAAUCAAACAAACUAAUCAAGGUACUAAUCCACAAUCGUGUAUUUGACACCGGGGUAGAGCUCUGAAGCUCCACUUUGAACGAUGGUUCAAUUUCGAAGUUGGUUUGGUCUCCUUUCAUGUAGAUAGAAUGGAAUAUGGCCAACUAGGCAUUGAGUGAAAUUGCCGCCUCUACAAUAUGACCGGAAAAGUAGACCAAUUGAAGCUUGAGAAUACAGAUAAUUUCACAUGCUUAAAUCUAAUGAAAAAGCAUCCCUAACCUUGAAUGUUCUUCAGAACAUUCUCCUCUAGAACAUACACUCUCUCCAGGUCCUUGCCAAUCUUUCUCUCCCACAAAGACACGAAAUCAUCAAACGAGGAGGUGUUGGCAGGAGGUCUCAUGUACAGAAUUCUGUCCAGGGUCCUUGGAUCAUCCACAGCUUUGAUGGUAUAGAUGCUUAUGUCAUCCUCCUGGUUAAACAUGGCUAUAUAUUAAAGAGGAGAGUUUUAGAAUUUGGCUAACAAAUAAUUCACAGAGCCAUUGAUCGUCCUAGAGUUACUUUCGAGUUGUAUUUAAUAAAGAAUUCUCUCGGUAAAUAGAUUCACUAGGCCCUUGGCAUCGGUAUGUUCUUCUUCAUACCAAAUAUGAUCAAGAUAACCUUCUUUAUAUGCUGAAAAGGCGGUACUGUGCCAAGAUAACCCACAUGCAGAUAACCCACAUGACAUUCGUAUCAUCUUUUAGUCCUUAAACUUGAAGACUAAGGUAUGCAAAAGGCCCAAUAUCUCCAGACAAGGAAACUGCCUGGAAUUCUCAAGCUUCAAGAACUGCCCCUUACUCUGAUCACUACCAUAAUUAAAUGGAUGCACAGAAAAAUCUCAGUGGCCUAAAAUGCGCAUUUCAAUGAAUUGCUUCUUAUCUUUUGCAUUUCCAUCCCCUAAGAUGACAACUUUAUCUCCAGGGGAAGCUGUAGCCCCAGGCAAUGACUAUGUUGGAAGGAAGUAACCUGCAAAGCAAUUACGACAUACAUCAGUAUAAGGGAUUCCCUCAGCCUAAACAAGAAGGCAGAUCUUAGACUUAGUUGCGAGUAUAGCUUUCACUGGCUCCACGGCAUGGACACAAUCCACAUCAUCUCCAAUGUCUGAAGGCAAGAAUCUCUAAAAAGAAACAUAAUCAAAUCAGAAGAAACAUCUUUACCAGAAAGCAACAAAAACUUAGAGCAUCUCCUUAACCAACAAACUUAUAUCUCUUGCAAAAGAAAAACUAUAUAAGACUUAAUUUCAUGUUGUUUACAUAUGUUACUAUAAACAAAGUGAAAAGUGAUUAUCAGUGAAUCAAUUAAUUCAGCAAUUAAGCAAAAAUAGAAAAAUAGAGGAAACGGCAGCAGCCAGAUAACUAUCUCAAGUACAAAAUAGGCAAAUAUGCUGCUUGCUUGGACACUUCCACAAGAAAUAAGAUUUCAGGUAAGUCCAUUGCCUUUUGUGAGCAUGCCGAGUUCCACUUAUUAUUGACCAUCGACCACCCAAAGCAAUGAGAACUACUAAGUUCUAUCCCAGCAAGUGGGAUUAACAUAUUUGCAACAAUGAUAAUACUACUGAAAAGACCACAUUGAGUGCUCGAAACUUUUACAUUUUUGGUUGACCUAGAGGAAACCUGACAUCACGCAGUUUCAGGAUAGAUAAACCCUCCUGGAGUAUGUAGGCAGCCCAAUAUCCAUACAAAUAUCGAGACAGAGGAGGGCGCGAGUUUGAGGUCAAAGAGCCUUUGUGUGCGUGAAGAUAUAAAUCUAUGAGUAAAUUACAUGUACAUAUUAAUGAGUUCGUGUAGAUGGUACAUUUUGCAUCCAUGAUGACAGAAUUCCCUACCCAAUUAAAUUCGUCAAAGAGAAAUUGCGUGGAUUCAGAGCAGCCCACUUAGAAGACCAAACUGUCCUAUACUUGGGUUUGAAAUAGCUAUCGUCGAAUUUCACCGAUCACUUCUACACAAAGAGAUGACCAUUGAAGAAAAAGAAGUGAAGUCUGCAGAUAAAUAAGUCAAUCCACCUCAUUUCAUCGAAGCGGAGCUCAAAAGAGAAAGUAGUGCACCUACAUCAUCAGUCAAAUGGUAAACGAACAAUGGUAACAACAAUGAAAUAAUUAGAAACAGCACCACCUCAACAGUCCUGGCUGCUUUAGUGGCAGAAAAAAUCUUGUCUUGGUCCUCUAGUUGUUCGUUCCCAACAACAGAGAUUACCACAUCAACCUGCUUAAUCACGUUCAGUAGAAUCUUCUGGUCAUAUAUGUCUCCUUGAGAAUCAAAUAACCAAGAGCAUGGACAAACAAUCAAUGAAUGAAGUCAGCAAUCAUCCGCAAGAUUCAUCUGCGCAGCAAAGUGCAGCUACGUAGCUACAGUUGUCUCAUAAACCGCUAAAGCAUACGGAAGUUUCCACAAAAUUUGUUCGAAAAUGUGCACGGUCGUAUCAUCAUGCAACGCCGAGAUUUCUUCAGGCAUUCGAAAAACGAGAGCCACGUGAUUUCUUUUCUAACAUAUACAAAGACAAAACAUCAGAGAAUAGAAAGAGCAACACCAACUCCAUUAACUCCAUGAACUGAAAUAUUUAGAAAGAAAGCAGCUCCGAUUCUACUGCUAAAAACAUUUCUCAGAAAGGCAAACGAGAUUAUCGGCACGCGACGCUUCGAUUUUUCUAAGUAGCACCGAAUGCGGAAAAUGAACGAAAUCGCACGGGAAUAGCUACUCACGCGAACUAAAUUGACGCCUAAGCUUUUGAAACCUUCGACGAUUUUGGCCUUGGUGGGAUUGGAAAGCGCGGACUCCCUCACAAGAGCGAAGGUAGGGUGACCGGACUUAGCACUCGCUUCCACGAUGAACUUUCCGAUGUAUCCAGUGCCUCCGAUCACUAGGACUUUGCUCUUCUCCGGCAUCUCAGAGGGUUUUCUCACGGCGGAGGAGUGGCCUUUCUGGCCAGCGUGAUUUGUCUCGUGCUGCAACUGUUGGCGCUCGUCGAGAUGAGUGGUCCUUUUGUUUUGACUCCGGAAGGACAUAUUUAGUGAAUUGAAAUUUUUGCUAGCAUACAAUCUACUGUGAGGAAAUGGAUUUCAUAAUAAAUUAUAAUUAUUUACAAUUUAAUUUUUUAUGAUUCAGAAUAGACUAUUAUUCUCAUAAUAUAUUAAAAAUUAUCAUGUAAUCAUUUUUAAAUUUAAUUUUUAAUUAGAUACAAAUUACUUACCUAUCGAUUUUGACUACGAUAAUGUGAAUUUUUUUUUGAAAAUAGGAAUAAGUUAACUUACCGAAAAUAAGAAAUUAUGAAUUUAAGUUUUUUAGAGAUAUAAAAUUGAUUGCUGUGUUGACAAAUCUCAUAAAAAAGAAAAAGAAAUCAAUGGGCCUAAUUUAUGGUGGGCUAUAAUCACGGAAUUAAAAAAUGAAACCUUCCCUGUCGAGGACAAAAGUUGGUUGUUACUUCCUGACAAGAAAAAAGUUAUUUUAUCUUUUCUUCAGUAGAUAUUGUUGACAUUUAAGCCUCGUUCGUGUACUUUGGACUUUUAUAAAACGGUGUGAGACUGGGAGUUGGAGGCAGCCAUAGAAACAGCAUUCUCAAUAAGAAGGUUCUCCAAUUUUUGGUGCUCUUUUUCCAAAUUUUUAAAGUUCAUAAUAUUAUUAUUCUUUUGAAUCCAACAUUUGGUAUAAUGUUAUCCAUCAAAUUCAUCCAAUGACAACUUUCAAAGUUAAACAAAAGGAAUUUCAAUAAUUAGCCUGGCUAGAUGAAAGUUCUUUUUAAAUCACAAAAUUUGCAAAAUCUAGUUGACAAUGACUAAAUCAAACUAGCUGAUGCUGAGUAGUAUAUGCGACCUUUCAAGCCGGGGAUGAAAGGAUAUUUGAAAAAAUACCAAGCACAAACACUACAAAAGCGGUAUGUGAUAUUUUGCAAAAAUUCUACAAAGGCUAUUGUCAUGUAAGACAGAUGCGGCUUCAGAAAUAAGGUAAUUUUGAGUCUCUAUACAUGAAUAAUUAUAAAUCAAUCUCAACAUAUUUUGAUUUUGUACAAACUAUCAUUAACCAAUUAAGGAUUAAUGGUGAAAAACUUCAAGAAGUACAAGUGGUUGAAAAAAUCUUGGAGUAUUAAUUGAAAUAUUUGACUAGUUGUCGUAACAGUCAAAUAAGGGUGGGAUGUGACAAUCUUUGGAGUGAUUGAUGGGUUCAUUGUACUUGUGUGAGCAAAGAAUGAAUUAAAAGUCCAUUGAUUUAAAUCCCGAGCAAGCUUUGUGUAGUCAAGUUAGUCAAUUAAGCUGAGGAGGGAAGAGGUUGUCGGAGGUUCUCGAGAUAGAGGUGAAAAUUCAAAUUCCAGCGAAAAAUAUAUAAAACAUGACAAAUCAAAACUCAAGUGUUCUAAGUGCAACAAAUUCGAAUAUUAAAAAUCUGAGUUUCAGGCAAAGAUGUAGUACAAGCAUGCAAAACAAGCGCACGCAAUUGAUGCUGACGAAAACAUAGUGCUAGCAUGCAAAAAAGAUGACUAGAGCACCGUGUACAGCAACAUCUAUUAUUGACAUUUGUGCUUAGUAUGUACUCGGACUUGGAGGUUUGUCCAUGCCAUGAGAUGAACAGCGGGAGCCGCAUUUCACACUAGGAUCCUAAGAAGCAGCAUCCCAUAUUAUUUACUAUUCAAGCUAAUGUGAGAAAUUUACCGAGCACAAUCGAUUUUGACAAUCAAACAAACUGGUCAAGGUACUAAUCCACGGUUGCACAUUUGACAUCGGGGUAGAGUUCCAAAGCUUCCACACCAAACGACGGCUCAAUCUCAAAGCUGGUUUGAUCUCCUUUCACAAAAAUUGAAUGGUAUAUGGCCAACAUGUGAUUGAGUGGGAACGCUGACCAGUCGAAGCUUGAGAUAGAGAUAAUUUCACAUGCUUAAAUCUAAUAGAAAAUGCAUCCCUAACCUUGAAUGUUCUUUAGAACUUGCUCCUCUGGAACGUAAACCUGCUCUCGGGUCUUGCCGAUCUUUCUCUCCCACAAAGACACGAGAUCAUUCAUCGAGUAGGCGUUGGCAGGAGGUCUGAUGUACAGAGUUGUGUUCAAAGUCCUUGGAUCAUCCACGGCUUUGAUGUUAUAGGUGCCAAUGUCAUCCUCCUCAUUAUUCACCACUAUAUAUCGACGGGAGAAAGUUUUAGAAAUCGGCUAAUAAAUAAAUCACAGAGGAAUCGAUCUGCCUACAGUUACUUCCCGCACGUACUUAAUAAAGAAUUCUCUCGAUAAACAGAUUCAUCAAACAACUGGCAUCCAUAUGUUCUUUUCUCAACCACAUACAUCAAGAUAACCUUCUUUAUAUGCUGAACAGGUGGUAUUGCGCCAAGGUAACCCACAUGACAUUCAUAUCAUCUAUUAUUCCCUAAAUUGAAGACCUAAUGGAUGCAAAAGGCCCAACAUCUCCAGCCAAGGAAGUUGCCUGGAACUCUCAAGCUCCAAGAGCUGCGCCUCACUUUGAUUGCUAUCGUAAUUGAAUCGUGAAAGAUGUAAAAAAAAUCUCAACGGCUUAAUAUGCGAAGCAUUUCGACAGAUUGCUUUUUACCUUUCACAUUUCCAUCUCCUAAGAUGACAACUUUAUCUCUAGGGGGAACUGUAGCCUUGAGCUGUGCCAAUGUCGGAAGGACAUAACCUGCAAAACAUUUACAAACAUACAUAGGUAUAAGGGAUUCCCUCGGCCUCAACAAGGCAGCGGAUCUUAGCCUUGAUGGCAAGAAGAGCUUUCGCUGACUCCAGAGCAUGGACACAAUCUACGUCAUUUCCAAUCUCUGAAGGAAAGAAUCUCUAAAAAGAAACAUAAUGAAAUCAGAGGAUACAUCUUUAUUAGAAUGCAGCAAAAAUUUAGAGCAUAUUCCCCUAAACCAAAAAACUUAUAUGAGUUUUGGCAAAAACAAAGGAUGAGGAACUUACAUGAGACUGAAUUUCUAGUUGUUUCAUUAUGUUACUAUAACAGAGUAAAAUGUGAUUAUAAGUGAAUCAAUUUAUUCAGCAAUUCAGUAAAUUNNNNNNNNNNNNNNNNNNNNNNNNNNNNNNNNNNNNNNNNNNNNNNNNNNNNNNNNNNNNNNNNNNNNNNNNNNNNNNNNNNNNNNNNNNNNNNNNNNNNCAAUAUACACCCAGUCUUGAGCAAGUUCGCCGGGAAAAACCAUGCCUCCACCAUGAAAGAACCCUUCGAGAUGGCCGAAAAGAGCAUAGUGCUGGUGAUUGGAGGCACUGGAUACUUCGGAAAGUUCAUUGUGGAAGCGAGUGCUAAGUCCGCUCACCCUACCUUCACUCUCGUGAGAGAGUCCGCUCUCUCCAACCCUGCCAAGGCCGGCAUCGUGGAAGGUUUCAAGAGCUUAGGUGUCAAUAUAUUCCAGGUGAGUAGUUAUUCCCGUGCGGUUGUGUUCGUUCGCCAUUCUGAGAAAUGUUUUUAUCAGUAGGAUCGGAGUUGAUUUUUAUAUUUAUUUCUCUCUUGAUCGAGUUGAUGGAGUCACGUUACGAUAUGGCGUUGCUCUUUCUCUUCUCCAAUAGUUUGUCUUUGUGCAUGGAUGAGAUCAGAAAUCACGUCCCUCUCCUUUUUCAAAUGCCUGACGAGAUCUCAGCUUCGCAUGAUGAUACAAACAUGCACAUUUUCAGACAAAAUCUUAUGGGAAACUUUGAUAUGCUUUAGCUGUUUCUGAGACUGCUAUAGCUAAGUAGCUGCGCUUUGCUGUGUAGACAAAUCUUGCCAGUAAUUGCCGACUUCAUUGAUCAUUCGUGCAUACUCUUGGUUAUUUGAUUCUCAGGGAGACAUAUACGAUCAAAGGCAGGAGGUCUGAUGUACAGAAUUUUGUUCAAGGUCCUUGGAUCAUCCACAGCUUUAAUGGUAUAGGUGCCAAUGUCAUCCUCCUUGUUAAACACUGCUGCAUAUUGAGGUGGAGAGUUUUAGAAUUUGGCUAAUAAAUAAAUCACAGAACCAUUGAUCUUCGUAGUUACUAAUGUUAAACGAGCAAUGGUAACUCGGAUGAAAUUAUUAUAAACAGCACGACCUUGAUAUUCCCGGCUGCUUUGAUGGCUGCAACAAUCCUAUCUUGGAUCUCUACCUGUGUUUGCCCCACGGCAGAGAUUACCACAUCAACCUGCUUAAUCGCAGUUAACAAACUCUCUUGAUCAUAUAUGUCUCCCUGAGAAUCAAAUAACCAAGAGCAUGGACAAACAAUCAAUAAAGUCGCCAAUCAUCAAUCAAUCCUAUCUUGGCCAGUAGGAAGACUAUGAAAAAGGAUAGAUAUGAAGUCCGAUGCAGAAAGACUUCAAAGACUUCAAAACCUUCACUAGACGAGAAAAAGUAUUUUAAGAAAUAAAGCAUCCACAGAAUUAUCGUCCAUACAUUGCCUACCGAUCUUUUGAAAGGUUAUAGCAAGGGAUUUGCGGUGACAUCUGAAUAAAAGGUCAGUCACAUUCACUCUUAUAUACAAGUUCAUUUAGGCAGUACGUAAAAUAUGGAAGUUUUUGUAAGAUUUGUUUAAAAAUGUAAUCUAUUCGUACUUCGUAUCAGAAUGCGAAGCUGAGGUGAUUCGUCAGUCAAUGUGAAAAACGACCAAUAAUUCAGGGACAAAUUACUGGAGGAGGGAAAGAGAAACACCAAAUAUCAACUCAAUCUUGUGAAAGAUUGAGAUAAAUGGCGACUCUGAUUCUACGGUUAAAGACAUUUCUCAAAACGACGGAUGAGAUUAAUGGUAGGGGAUGCUUCUAUUUCCAUAGGAGCACCAAAUGCGAGAAACGAACAGGAUUGCAUCGGAAGAACUACUCACGUAAACUAAAUUGACGCCUAAGCUCUUGAAACCUUCGGCGAUGUUGGCCUUGGCUGGGUCGGAGAGAAUGGACUCCCUCACGAGAGCGAAGGUAGGGUGACCGAACUUAGCACUUGCUUCCACGAUGAACUUUCCGAUGCAUCCGGUGCUGCCGAUCACCAGAACUCUGCUCUUCUCGGCCAUCUUGGAGGGUGCUUUCACAGCGGAGGCGUCGUUCUUCCUGGCGAUCUUGAUCGGUCUGUGAAGUGACUCUGUUAUAACUGUAUGUGUGUGUGUCUAUAUAUAUAUAUAGAGAGAGAGAGAGAGAGAGAGAGCUAAAAGGCGGCGGGCUAAAAGGUGGCGGUUCUUGUCUUCGUGACAGGAUAGAGACUCGAGAGUCAUUGGAGGAUUCCGGAAGGGCGUAACCGUCUUUUCAUUGAAAUGAUUUUUCUUGUUGAGAUAAAUCCUUCAUUGGAAAAAUGGUACAUAGAAAGUGGGAAAAUAGACAGAAGAUAAGAUUUUGUUUAAUUUCAGUGAUGAACUAAAUUAUUGUGAAGAAAGAUAGAUUUUCUAUUUCUUUUUUGGUAAAUAAUCAAUAUAUUGAGCGUAAACCAAAACUAUACAACACAGUCUGGCACCAAAGACUUACUAUCAUAAGGACAAAUUAGUCCGAAUGAGUAGAGGGAUGCCGACAAAACAACAACAGCCACCAAACAAGUUAGGCACAAAGCCAACAAAGCUGAGGCAAAUAUAAGAUAGAUUUUAACUUAGCAAAAAACAAGAAAAUUUAAUUUUGAUAUUGCUAUAAAUUUACGUAAUCAUAAUUGAUGAGGAAAUAGUUGACACUACCUUUUUUACGUUGCCGCCGCCAACCCGGGUAGCCCGCUCACGGUGGGGGCUACCCGGGCCUCUUCAUUUCCCUAAACCCAGCCUAGUAUGCUAGGAGAAUGGCUUCACGGGGAUCCGAGGUGGGCUCCCCUUCCUUUUAGAGGGGUUGGCGGGGAAGCCAUGGGGACAUUAUCCCGUAAUCCUAGUUAAACCCCCUGUAAAUGGGGGCUAACUGGGCAUCCUGUGAUGCCCGAUUCAGGGUGGAGCAGUUUAAGGACCUGCUUAGGUCCUAACCGUCUUUUCAUUGAAAUGAUUUUUCUUGUUGAGAUAAAAUCCUUCAUUGGAAAAAUGGUACAUAGAAAGUGGGAAAAUAGACAGAAGAUAAGAUUUUGUUUAAUUUCAGUGAUGAACUAAAUUAUUGUGAAGUAAGAUAGAUUUUUUUUUUUUUUUUGAUAAAUAAUCAAUAUAUUGAGCGUAAACCAAAACUAUACAACACAGUCUGGCACCAAAGACUUACUAUCAUAAGGACAAAUUAGUCCGAAUGAGUAGAGGGAUGCCGACAAAACAACAACAGCCACCAAACAAGUUAGGCACAAAGCCAACAAAGCUGAGGCAAACGUAAGAUAGAUUUUAACUUAGCAAAAAACAACAAAAUUUAAUUUUGAUAUUGCUAUAAAUUUACGUAAUCAUAAUUGAUGAGGAAAUAGUUGAAACUACCUUUUUUACGUUGACUUUUAUCAUAUGAAAAAGAUAAGAAAAUGGUAUGAAAUGGGCAAUGAGCUACUCUACAUUUAUAUGGUAGCAUGAUAUUAUACAGCUACAUAGCUGUUGUGGUAUUGUUUCAAGGUUCAAUAAAUUCUUUUUCCUAGGUGGGUUGACACAAGAUUACCAUUCUUUAAUUGGCCAACAUAAGAUUACUAUAUUUGUAAUUCAUAACCUCUAUGGGAGAAAAAAGCAACAAUGCGAGUGUCGAAAUAUGGAAUGAUUAGUAAAAAGUUGUUAAACCUUUGACAUGUAUACCAAUUCAAUUUUAAAUAUUUUGAUUUGAUUAAUUUAAAUCUAAAUUUUUUAACGAUUGACCUUGCGAUACAAUCCCAAGUAGUACCAACACCGAUACGCAAUACACAAAAUGACAUGACAUGAUAUGCCAACACGUCUAUCUAAGAAAAGAAAAGAAAUCGAACACAUUAGGACACAUCGUAUAUUAAAUAUAUAUUUUAUAUAUACAUGAUAAAUUAUCAUUUCUAUGAUUAUUUUAAUCAAAUUAAUUUAAUUCAAAUUCACAAAUAAAUAAAUAAUAAAAAAAAAGACUAGAAUGAAUUUACACUAAAAAUUGUGAAUUAUAGGAAGUGAAAGUCAAAAGAGAAGAGGAGAUUAGGUUUUCUCUUUUCUCCCUUUUAUUAUUUUUAUUACUAUUUAUCUUUGUACAUAUUUCAUUUUGACUCGUCAUCUAUUGAAAAUUUUUAAAAUUGACUUGUGUGUAUCGAAAUCAUGUGUCGGAAUUCUGGACUUGCAUGUCAAACCGUGUUAGAAGAGUUAAUUACGUGUCAGAUUUUUUGAUAUCUGUUGACCGCGUAUCGAAAGGUGUCAAAGUGUAACACCGAACUCGCGUAUUGGGAGAGUUGAUCACGAGUCGGAUUUUUCAACACAUGUUAAUCACGUGUCGAAACAUGUCAAAGCAUAUUGAACACGUGUUGGUAUGACAUCCUGAAAAUUCAGUUUUGUUUUUAAUUGAAUGAAUCGAGUCUUUCAUCGAUGCGCUUAUAGUGUUAUUCUCUGAGCUGAUUACUCAUAAGAUAACUAAACUAUCUAGAGAAGUCAUUAAGGGAUUUUAACGCGAUAGACUUAAGAAUUCGACUAGGAAUCGAUUGUUCAACUAUGCUAAUUUGCAAGGGUCAUUAUGGCACAAUUUAAAAAUCGAUUAGAGACCAGAGAUAGGUCGAUUUGACAGAGGUGUGUGAUUAAGUGUGGGUGAUUCCACCUGAUUACAAAAUUCUUGUCGAUCGGCAUUAGACCGAUUUUUGAUCGUUUUGGGUACCCUGUGUUUGUAUUUGAGACCUCGAGAUUUUCAUGACAAUCGAGAGUCGCCAAUGAGUCGAAGAUGCACAAUGUGACUCAAGAAUAAUCGACCAUGGGUCAGUUGCACUAAAAAUUCCUAAAAGCUACCCGGUAGGUUAGGUCACGUUUAGAUCGUGCUAGAUUAAAAUUAACAGCGAAAUUGAACCCUAUUUCAUAAAUUGAAAGUUUUGAAAUAUCACGAUUUAUUUUAGGAACGUCGACUCAUCCUCCCAAGAAUUUUCGGAGAGUUCGGGAUUUUUAUGAAAAAUCAAUUUGAACGUUUCGGAAAAGAACGGAAAUUUGGAAUGGCCAAAUUGAAUGGAUUUUUGACUUCCAAACUGAGCUACUCGGCGAAAGGAAAUUGUAGAAAUUGUGUGGGCUUCUUCUUCAUCAAAAUUAGACAUCAAAUUAGAGAAUUUGUGGAAGAAAUUGAAAUCCAAAAAUGAGAAAAUUCUAAGCUUGGCAUGGGGGCUGCAACUUUGGCAAUCAAAGUGGAUUAUUUGUGGGAAAUUAUAAGUAAGAAAGUAAUUAUGGACAAGAGGGAUAAGAUUGAAGACUUUUUGGUCCAAGGAAUGAUGAAUAUAGAUUUUUUUCAUUGACUUUUGGCCCCCCCUCACCAAUCUUCUCUCGUACGCUACCUUCCCCCCUUCUUCGUGCGCCCGCUUCCUCCCGAUCCCCCUUUGUUCUGUCUCUUCUUCUUUUCAUUUUGUUUCUUCGAAGACCCGCAUGCUUCUCCAUCAUCGAAUUCCCCUCCAUCCUCUGCCAUCUCCACCGAGCUCUUCCCUUCAAGCUGCCACACGUCCACGUAUCUUCUCCCCCCGGUCAACCCCUCGCCAGCAGAAGCCCCGAAGUUGUGACUGCCCACCCUUAUCAACACUGCCAGCCCUCCACCACCGCUUGUCCCCUUUGACUGAAGCUGCUGCUCCUCUUUCACGUUGCCACGAAGACGCCAGUAGCGCCCCCUCUCCUUUGGCUUCUCUCCCGCACGUCCAUCUGUCCACCGAGUCAACAUUCAGCACUAGCCCUCCCCAGUGAAGACCACCGAAUUUCCUUCCAGCGCCACACGUCCUCCACUCCAUCACCCGUGCACGAAGCCGUCCCACCAAUUCCCUUCAGCGGUCAAUUGACCAGAAGUUUUCAACGCCAGCAGCUUCAUUGACGUGAGCCCAUCUCCACGUAGGAGCUCCUUUCAGCCGCAUGAUCAGCCCCAACGACUAGCCCACUCGAAGUCGCAAGUCUAACCGCAAGUUCAGCCAAGUCCAGCAGUAAACGUGGGCUUUGUGGGGCCGUUUUUGGCCCGGUCCAAGCCUCCGUUGGCGUCGCCGCUUCGGAGUUUGUCGCUUGUCUCUGCGUCGCCGUCACUGUAGACUCACCGGCUCGCAAAUUCAAUGAGUUUACUCACUAAACAUUGCUUAGGAGGUUAAUUAUGCUUAGGAGAUGAUUAGUUUAAGUUAAUUAAGGAUUAUGUGGUUAGUUAGAUUAGAUUAGUCAUUUAAUUAUCCAAUUCUGUAUGUUAGGUUGUUAGAUUAGAUUAAUUAGAGACUAGACAGGUUGUAUUAAUUAUCUAGAUUGGUUCGGAAAUUUCCGGACCCGUCUCGGUAUUUAAUUAGGCUUUUCCGGUCUAAGUUCCUAUUUAUAGCAUUUAAUUGUAUUAUUUAAUGAAUUUUAGUAAUUAUUUAAUUAUUUAUUAUUUUUCGAAAAUUAGACUGGGAUAGCCGGUGAUCGGAAUUUCAUGCUGAUUGCAAUGGUGUGUUUAGUUUAUGCAAUUGGAUGUUAGUUUGUGCAAAUCGAGUGCUGAUUGGAUUUUUGGUCAUUUAUUCCAAAAUUUAGAAAAAUUCAUUAUUUAUUUAGAAUAUUCCGAGUGUCGGAUUUUGACACCAAAAAUAGUUUUAUAUACUAUAUAAAACAGUGGGAUUUUAAAUUGGAGGAUAUCAAUUUUCAAGGAUUGAUCUAACCGUGUACUCACACACGACUAUUUUCACCGGGUGUUUUAAUAUGAAGAAAAUAGGCUAGGAUCACUAUUUUAAUGGAGGCUUUUGAGUGCAAUGCAUAGUGUCUUGGGCCGAAAUUGAUUGAUCAUGUGUUGGUUAAGAGAACCCGUCUCGAGCUUUUAAGCCGAAUGUUACCUUAUAUGGGAUACCCACUCAGUGGGACUCAAGUUGCAGUAGAUUCUAGACCUACGCUCCUUCGCAAAAGCCGUCUUUGAGAGACGUCGCCGUGUUCAAUGGUGGUGAGACGAUGCCUAGCUAUGCUAGUAGACUGCCAAAUAGAGAGUAUGACAUGCUAUAAGCCGAGAUCAAAACUAGGAACGCAUGUUUAAUUGAGUUAAAUGUGUCGGAUUAUGAGACAAAAUUGUGUGACAUAAUAUGGGACGUGUUAUAACGAUUUGGUUAUAUAAUUAAGACCUCUAUGCUUGUUUGAAAUUUGAGUGUGGCGUUCCAGUUAAUUGAGCUUGGUUGUUGCUCAUGCUUUUGUGCUGUCUAUGGUAUGAACUGUGCUGACCUGUAGGAAGGAUUUGAGAUGAGGUAAGUCUCUGUGGUUGUAUGAUUGUGUGGUUAUGACACUUUUAGGCGUAUUACCCUCCUAAUCAGGGUUUAGAGCAUGAACUCGCUGAGAUUUAUAUCUCAUCCUGUAGUGGGCUCAAUUCUUUUCAGGGCCGUAGAGUGAAGGAUUUGGAGUCGAGCUAAGGUGAUCUGAAGUGUAGAUCAGAUAGAAUAGUUUCUUUUAAGAGUUGGUCUUUUGAAGUCUUUUGGUUAUAGACUUUUGUAUAUGACUCAGUUGGUUUAUAAAAGCACAUUUUGUUUGUGAAUCUAUUGUCCUGCUUUUCUAUCUCGAGAUGGGUUUUUGUCAGGGGAUUCGUUAUUCGCUUCUGCAUGUGCAAUAAAAAGAAAUGGUCGGUAACUUGUUCUAGGAAGUCGCAUUUUUAUUAUAGACCACCGAGGGAUGGGCACGCACUCGAGGAUUGGGGUGUGAUAGUUGGAGUGUCGAUACGUCCCAAGAGUGUCAAUGCUUUCUAGAUACAUCAGGCGUCGUCGGCUUCUAAUGUAACACAACCAAUGCUCACAUGAAACAAUUUGAAAUUUUUUUAAAAAAAGGAUCUUUUCGGCUCUUUUUACCUUAUUUUCUUUCNNNNNNNNNNNNNNNNNNNNNNNNNNNNNNNNNNNNNNNNNNNNNNNNNNNNNNNNNNNNNNNNNNNNNNNNNNNNNNNNNNNNNNNNNNNNNNNNNNNNNNNNNNNNNNNNNNNNNNNNNNNNNNNNNNNNNNNNNNNNNNNNNNNNNNNNNNNNNNNNNNNNNNNNNNNNNNNNNNNNNNNNNNNNNNNNNNNNNNNNNNNNNNNNNNNNNNNNNNNNNNNNNNNNNNNNNNNNNNNNNNNNNNNNNNNNNNNNNNNNNNNNNNNNNNNNNNNNNNNNNNNNNNNNNNNNNNNNNNNNNNNNNNNNNNNNNNNNNNNNNNNNNNNNNNNNNNNNNNNNNNNNNNNNNNNNNNNNNNNNNNNNNNNNNNNNNNNNNNNNNNNNNNNNNNNNNNNNNNNNNNNNNNNNNNNNNNNNNNNNNNNNNNNNNNNNNNNNNNNNNNNNNNNNNNNNNNNNNNNNNNNNNNNNNNNNNNNNNNNNNNNNNNNNNNNNNNNNNNNNNNNNNNNNNNNNNNNNNNNNNNNNNNNNNNNNNNNNNNNNNNNNNNNNNNNNNNNNNNNNNNNNNNNNNNNNNNNNNNNNNCAUUUCUUAUGUACUUGUUUCCUCUUCUUCUUCCAUCAAUCACCAGGCCUUGGUGAAGGCCUCGAUGCCCUCACCAAGGGUCGACCUCACAUGCUUGGGGCAAGGCUCGACCUCAUGGCUCCACUUCAUUACCCACACCGAGGAUGGACCAUAUAUAACAUACAAAAUUAGAGAAACCCGCAUCUAACUUUUAGCUUACCAUAGCUUGGACAUAAAACCAUAUCAAACUCCAAAAUAGGAGUAACUUCUCUAAGCACUGCAUAGAUGCACACACAUCGAAUGUUCAUAGUAUGUCCUCAUAUUUGGAGGUUGUACACGCCAUAAGAUGAUCGGCGGGAGCGACAUUUCACACAAGGAUCCUAACUAGCAAAAUCUUAUAUUAUUCAUGAUUCAAACUGAUGUGAGAAACCUACCAAAUACAAUCAGUUUCGGUUAUCAAACAAAUUGAUUAAGGUACUGAUUCUCGGUCAUGUAUUUGAUGUUGGGAUAGAGCUCUGAAGCUUUCACUCCGAAAGACGGCUCAAUCUCAAAGUUGGUGUGGUCUCCUUUCAAGAAAACAGAAUGAGAUAUGGCCAAUAUCACAUUGAGCAGAACUGCCGCCUCUGCAAGAUGACAAUACAAGUUGAUCGAUUGACUUUAGAAUACUCAAGUCUCGGAGAGAAAUAGACAAUACACGUGCUUAAAUCUAAUCCCUGACCUUGAAUGUUCUUUAGAACUUGCUCCUCUGGAACAUAAACCCUCUCCAGGGUCUUGCUGAUCUUUCUCUCCCACAAAGACACGAGAUCACUAAACAAGUAGGUGUUGGCAGGAGGUUUGAUGUACUGAAAUUUGUUUAAGGUCCUCGGAUCAUCCACGGCUUUGAUGGUAUAGGUGCUGAUGUCAUCCUCCUUAUUAAUCACUGCUGUAUAUCAACGGGAGAGAGUUUUAGAAUUCAGCUAAUAAAUAAAUCACAGAGCAAUCAAUCUACCUAGAGUUACUUUCAGCUCGCAUCUUGUAAAGAAUUAUCUCGAUGAGCGGAUUCAUCAAACAACUGGCAUCAUAUGUUCUUUUCUCAACCCCAUACAUCAAGAUAACCUUCUUUACAUGUUGAACAGGUGGUAUUGUGCCAAGGUAACCCACAUGACAUUCAUAUCAUCUAUUAGUCCCUAAAUUGAAGACUAAUGGAUGCAAAAGGCCCAAAAUCUCCAGACAAGGAAGUUGCCUGGAAUUCUCAAGCUCCAAGAACUGCUCCUCACUCUAAUUGCUAUCAUAAUUGAAUCGUGAAAGAUGUACAGAGAUCUCAACGGCUUAAAAUGCGAAACAUUUCGACAGAUUGCUUCUUACCUUUUACAUUUCCAUCUUCUGAGAUGACUACUUUAUCUCUAGGGGGAACUAUAGCCUCAAGCUGUGCCAAUGUCGGAAGGAUGUAACCUGCAAAACUGUUACAACAUACAUAGAUAUCAGGGAUUCCCUCGGCCUCAACAAUGCCGCCGAUCUUACCUUUGAUGGCAAGAGUAGCUUUUGCUGGCUCCACAGCAUGGACGCAAUCCACGUCAUUUCCAAACUCUGAAGGCAAGAAUCUCCAAAAAUAAAAUUUAGAAGAGACAUCUUUGUUAGAAAGCAGAAAAAAUUUAGAGCAUAUUCCCCUUAACCAAGAAACAUGUAUGAGUUCCAACAAAAAAAGGAAGACAAACUUAUAUGAGAAGGAAUUUCGAGUUGUUUCAAUAUGUUACUAUAACAUAGUAGAAAGUGAUCAUAAGUGAAUCAAUAAAUUCAGCAAUUCAGCAAAGUCGACUCCAAGUGCUAUAAGAAAAAUAGAAUAAACAGAGCAGCAGCCAGAUAACCCUGUCAAAUAUCGAAUAGGCAGACAUUCUACCCUGUCAAAUAUAGAAGAGGCAGACAUUCUGCUUGCGUGGACACCUUCACAAGUAACAAGAUAUCAGGUAAGACCAAUGCCUUUUGUGAGCAUGCCGAGUUCCACUCACUAUUGACUGUCAAUCUAUGUAGCACCGACACGGACACGCGACACGCGACACGACACGACACGACACGCCGACAUGUCAUUUCUUAAAAAUAGAGAAUUUUGACACAUUCCGACACGUUAUAUAUUAAAUAUAUUUUUAUAUAUAAAUACAUAAAAAUAGCAUAGAAUUAAUUUACACGAAAAAUAUUAAAUAAUAUUAUUAAUUAUUUUAAUUUGUUACAAUAAUACAUAAAACUUAGAGGAAACAAACAUUGUUUAAAGAAAAAUGCUGAAAUGAUAUUUUUAAAUUUAUUUAUUUAUCAUAUAUAGCAUUUUUUUAUUACUUCUUUUAUAGUAAAAGACUUUUGAAAAAACUAAAACAAUUCUAAAAAGCCAAAACUGAAAAAAAAAAAAAAUGGACCCCGUGCGUGUAUAUUUAUAGCAAUUUUAUUACUUCUUUUAUUACUUCUUUUGUGUAUAUUUAUAUUUUGACCCCUCAAGUAUUAGAAAUUUUAAAAUUGACCCCAUGCGUGUUGGAAUCAUGUGUCGGAAUUCUAGACUCACAUGUCAGAGCAUGUCGGAGAGAGUUGACUACAUGUCGGAUUUUUCGACACUCGUUGACCGCGUGUCGGAGCGUGUCGGAGUGUUGGACACGACACGAAAGCUUCCAAAGAGUGUCCGUGCUACAUAGCUGUCAACCACUCAAAGCAGCGACAAGUACUAAGUACCACUUCAAGGAUUAACUAGUUCAUGUUUCCCACACUGUCCUAUAGUUGAAUUAAAAUAGUUACUCUUGAAUUUCACUGAUGACUUCUACACAGGGUUAUGACCAUUUAAAAAAGAAAGAUGUUGAAGUCUACAGAUAGAUAAAUCCAUCCAUCCCAUUUCAUCAAAGCAAAGCUCGCAACGACAUCGCAAUGCACUUAAACUAGUAAGACAAGAAUCAAGCUAACACCCAUUAGUCAAAUGCUAAACCAACAAUAGGAACUUGAAAUGAAAUUACUAGGCACAGCACCACCUUGAUAUUCCCAGCUGCUUUAAUGGCAGCAACAAUUCUGUCUUGGUCCUUUACUUGUGCUCACCCCACAGCAGAGAUUACCACAUCUACUUAUGUAAUCACAAUAGACUCUCUUGAUCGUAUAUGUCUCCCUGAGAAUCAAAUAACCAAGAGCAUGGACAAAUGAUCAAUGAAGUCGGCAAUCAUCUGCAAGAUUUGUCUACACAGCAAAGCGCAGCUACGUAGCUAUAGCUGUCUCAGAAACAGCUAAAGCAUAUCGAAGUUUCCACAAGAUUUUGUUUGAAAAUGUGCACGUUCACAUCCUCAUGCAAAAGCUGAAAUUUCGUCAAGCAUUUGAAAAAGGAGAGGGACGUGAUUUCUGAUUUCAACCACGCACAAAGACAAAAUAUCAGAGAAGCAAAAGAGCAACGCCAGAUCGUAACGUGACUCCAUCAACUCCAUAAAGUGAGAGAUAAAAAUCAACUCCGAUCCUACUGAUAAAAACAUUUCUCAAAACGGCAAACGAACGCAACCGCACAAGAAUAACUACUCACCUGGAAUAUAUUGAUGCUUGAGCUCUUGAAACCUUCGGCGAUGCCAGCCUUGGUGGGGUCAGAGAGAGCGGACUUGUCAUGCCUCGGAGCUCCGAGCGCGCGCACAUCCCUCGAUGGUCAAUGAAAUUGCGAAGUCCUAGGACGCGUCGCCGACCCAUUCAUUUUAUUGCACAUGUGGAAGCGAAUAAAAUAAACCCCUAACAGCAAAUAGCAUGGGAUAGAAAAACAGGAUAACAAAUUCACAACAAAAACACGCUUUUAUACACAAACUAAGUUUAUAUACAAGACUAGCCUGUUUACCAAAAAGAUUAGCCCUCAAAAAGGAAAAUGUCCUAUGGUCCACUAGUCGGACGCGUUCACCAAUCAUUCGGACUCCACAGGCUCCGGGGGCACUGGGUCCACCACAGCCCCAUCAAGAGGGUCAGCUGUAUCCUCGCCAAAAGCGGCGUCGACUACCACAAUGGGGAUCUCAAAACCCUGGAGGGGACCAACUCUGUAUCUAUUUAGCCCGUGGCGAAACCACACCCUAAAUUGAUGAGGUACUCUCUAAGGUUGGCCCUCACUGACCCAGACGGUGGUCACUACGAGCUCAUAAACCCGGACCCCGUGGCCUCCGGGAAUAGGGUAGUCAGUAACCAACUCGGUAACCCUUUGAGGCUAACCAUAACGUAUCGGUGGAGCUGCCAUCUAAGGACCUGAAAAAAAAAAUUUUGAGCCCAUGACGGGGUGAGACAAUGUUUCAAUAAGUUCACCCUCUAAACUCCGACUAGGAAAGAAAUACGUCUAGCCACACAAUCACACAACCACAGAGACUCACCUUGUCUCAGAUCCUCCCUGUAGAUCAGCACAGUUCAAAAACACAACCAUAUGCAGUAAUCAAACUCAAUCAAUUGGAACGCCACCACUUUCAUCUCAAUAAACACAAGGGUCCCGAUUAUAAGGCCAAAUCGUUAUGACAUGUUCUAUACUAUGCCACACAAUUUUGUCCCAUAAUAAGGCGCGUCAAGUCAAUCAAUCAUGCAUUCCAAUUGAUUACAACCCAACGGUUACGACCGACUCAACAGUCACCGGUCUUUUGGGGUAGUCGGGUGUCGUCUCGCACCAUCGAGCAUUGCAACAUCUACAUCUAGACGACAUUCCACAUAAGAGCAUUGGUCCAGCCUCCACUGCGAUUGGCAUCCGUUGACUUGGGGCAUUCUCGAAGGAGCAUCGCCCGGCCCCAAAAGCUCGUGAUAGGUUCUCAUAUCAUUCAUGCACCCAUUCAAUCCCGGCCAAGACAUCGUGCUUCAUACUCAAAUGCUAUAAUUAAAAUAAUGUACUUGGCCUAUUUUAUUCCGUAUUAAAAACACACAGUAAAAUAAUCGUGUGUGGGUACACGGUCAAUUUGGACCAGAAAAACUGAUACACUUCUUUUUAAAAUCUCACUAUUUGAUAUAGUAUGUAAAACUAUUUUCGAUGUCAAAAUUCGACACUCGGGGUUUUCUUAGUAAAUAUCGAAAUUUCACAAUUUUGGAAUUAAUAACCAAAUUUCCAAUCACUACUUAAUUUGCACAAAUUAACACUCAAUUGCAUUAACUAAGCACACAAUUACAAUCAACACGAAAUUCCGGUCACCGACUAUCCUGGUAUAAUUUCUAGAAAAUAUUAAAUAAUAAAAAUAAUUAAAUAAAGCAAUUUAAAUACCAUAAAUACCAACUUAGGCCGGAAAUAUUAAUCUAACCACCUAAACGGGCCUAGACUAUUUCCGAACCUAACUAGAUAAAUAGUACAAUCUAUCUAGUCUCUAAUUAGUAUAUUCUAACCACCUAACAUGCACAAUUGAACAAUUAAAUAAUUAAUCUAAACUAACUAACCACCUAAUCCCUAAUUAGCCUAAACUAAUUAUCCACUAAGCGUCAUUAACUCCAUAAGUAGAGUUUAGCAAGUAAACUCACCGGUUUAGCGGGCUGGUGAGUCCACGACGUUGGCGACACAGAGAUGAGCGACACUCGAGCUUGCGACGACACCAACGGAGGUUUAGACGGGCCUGAAAACGGGCACGAGCUCUCAGCUAGGAGCUGAGCUUUGGCCACUGCUCAAGGCUGCUGGGCUGGAUCAAAGGGGCUGAAACGGCACAGGAUGGGACGCGGUGGCUGUAGCGACUCCAAGCGGUGGUUUCGGCUGGCUAGAUGGUGGCAAACGGUGACUGGACAUCAACCAGGAGGUCUUGACGGUGGCCAGGACACGUGGGGGAUGGCGAACAAGCGGGACGCAAGCAAGGUAGGUGGACGGCUCGCAAGUAGUGUGCGGGCUCGCGACGAGUAGACAAGUGGUGAGGGGGGCUUUGGCGGCGGUCGACGGGCUAAGGGGAGGGCUUGCCGGUUUCUGUAGUUUUUCUCAAGCUCUAAAACUCUCAACAAUGGAUAAAGUGGGCUCAAGGAGGGAGAAGAAGACAACUACAGCAAGAGGGGGAACCAAUGGCCUCAAAUAUCCACCAAAAUGCUCAUUGCUUGGCCCCCACUUGAUCAGCCAUAUCCUUAGCCAUUUGUCCUCACUCAAACUUUCCCUAGAAGCUUCCCCAAAUGGUCCAAAUGUUGCUGCAUCCCAUUGGCUACGAAUUUGGACAAUUCCCUCCAAAUUUUAUUCAAUUCCUCUCCAAUUGAGCUCAAAUUAGAGUCCAAAAAUUCAGCCAAGGUGUCAUCAUCCAUUUCAUGAUUUUUCCUCAUCAAUUGAACCAACUUGACAGCAAAAAAUCUGACAAAAAAGGGCCCUCUAAUUUUCCUGGUCCAAAAUAGCCUUAUUUUGAUUUUUCGCCGAAAUCUCGAGUUUUCAGAAAAAUCUUCGGAGGAUGAGUCAACAUUACUAAAAUGAAUCGUGACAUGACAAAACUUUCAAUUUUUGAAAUCGGGUUUAAAUUCGCAAUUAAUUUCAACUGGGCGCGAUUUUAGCGUGACCUAACCUACUGGGUAGCUCUUAGAAAUUUUUAGUGCAAUUGACCCAUGGUCGAUUAUUUUCGAGCCACAUUGUGCAUCUUCGACACAUUGACGACUCUCGGUUGUCGUAAAAAUCUCGAGAUUUCGAAUAUGGGCACAGGGUACAAAAAUGACAGAAAAAUCAGUCUAGUGCCGUUCGACAGAAAUUUUGCAAUCCGGUGGAAUCGCCCACACACUAAUCACAUACCUUUGUCGAAUCGACCCAUCUCCAAUCUCUUAUCGAUUUCGACAGUGUCGUAUUGACCAUUGCAGAUUAGCACAAUCGAGUAUUCGAUUUCUAGUCGAAUUCUCAAGUCUAUUGCGUCAAAAUCCCUUAACUGCUCCACCAGAUAGACUAGUUAUCUCGUGAGUGAUCAGCUUAGAGAAUAGAACUAUAGGCGCAUCGAUGAAAAGCCCAACUUAUUCAAUUGAAAACAUAAUUGGAAAUUCGGGAUGUCACAACUCUUCCCGUCUUAUAAAAAUUUUGUCCUCGAAAUUUAAAUCAUUACAAAUAUUUAAACAAAAAGGUAGAGGUACAGUCGUCUCAUUGGAUAUUCACUUUCCCAGGUUGCUCCUUCUGUGCCGUGGUGUUACCAGACCACUUUGACUAACAAGAUUGUCUUAGUGUGCAGAACAUGUUCCUUGCGGUCUACAAUCUGAACCGGUCUCUCUACGUAUGACACCCUAUUGUCCACAUCUAACUCUUCAAAGUUCAGCACAUAGGUCGGAUUAAGCUCAUACUUCCUCAACAUUAACACGUGAAAGACGUUAUGCACUUGCGCCAACCUUGGUGGCAAUGCAAGACGAUGCACUUGAGUCCCUAUCCUUUCUAGAAUCUCAAAAGAAUCUACGUAUUUCGGACUCAACUUUCCCUUUUUGCUAAAGCGCGAAUUACCCCUCAUCGGUGACAUCUUCAAAAAGACGUGCUCACCAAUUUGGAAUUCCAAAGGUCUUUGACGCUGAUCUGUGUAGCUCUUCUGACGGCUUUGAGUAGUCUUUAAUCUGUCCUUGAUAACUGUGACUGCAUUCACUGACUGUUGAACCAACUCUGGGCUUGUGAUUUUCCGUUCUCCAACCUCAUCCCAACAAACUGGCGUUUUGCACGCUCUACCAUACAACGCCUCGAAAGGUACCACCUGAAUACUCUGCUGGUAGCUGUUGUUGUAGGCGAACUCAACAAUAUGAAGCUGUUCCUCCCAACUUCCUUUGAAAUCCAACACACAAGCUCUCAACAUGUCCUCAAGAGUCUGAAUCGUCCUUUCAGACUGGCAUUUGUCUACGAAUGAUAAGCCGUACUGAAUUGCAGCUUUGUCCCCAAGGUGAUCUGUAAACUUUUCCAAAAGGCAGUUGUAAAUCUCAGGUCUCUAUUAGAUGUGAUUGUCACCAGCACUUUAUGCAACGAAUAAUUUGAUGCACGUAUAAUUCUGUGUAUCUGUCCAAUGCAAGGUCCUUUUGUACGGCGAUAAAGUGAGCCAACUUCAUCAGUCUGUUGACCAUAAUCCAAAUGGAAUCAUUACCCCUCUGACUCCUCGGUAAGCCCAUCACAAAGUCCAUUGUGAUGUAUUCCUAUUUUCACUCAGGAAUCUCGAGAGGUUGCAGAAGUCCUCUCGGCUUACAGUGAUGUGUCUUCACUUGCCGACACGUUAGACAUUUGGCAACAUGUUUAGAAAUAUCCUCCUUCAUACCGGUUCACCAAUAGUGUUGACGCAGAUUCUGAUAUAUCUUCGUACUGCUUGGAUGAAUGCUGUAACUACUACAAUGAGCUUCUGACAAGAUCUAUUCUUUAAGCUCUUCCUCGUUAGGUACACACAAUUGUCCUCGGAACCUUAGUGUUCCGUCUUUAGAAAUUUGAAAAUUAGCCUUUCUCUUUUCGGUAUCCUUUUGCAGGAUUUUCUAAAUAUCUGGGUCUGUCAACUGAAGCGUCUUGAUUCUGAUUCUCACUUCCGGCUCAAUUCUGAUGGUGGCCAUAAGAUUUGAAAUGUGACCUACCUCAAAUUUGAAAACCGAAUCUCGAGCUCUUUCGAGUAAAAUCCAUUCCUUAACUAUCAUUUGUGCAACUGAAGACUUCCUACUCAAAGCGUCUGCGACCUUGUUAGCCUUUCCAGGGUGAUACAAGAUGUUGCAAUCAUAGUCAUUCAGAAGUUCCAUCCAGCGACACUGUCUCAUAUUUAACUCCUUUUGAGAAAAUAUAUACUUGAGACUUUGAUGGUCUAUAAAGAUUUGGAAUCUUUCUCCACAUAAAUAAUGUCUCCAAAUCUUCAGAGUAAAGAUGAUUGCUGCGAGUUCCAAGUCAUGCGUCGGAUAAUUCAGCUCAUGAGGUCUCAACUAAUGGGACACGUAUGCAACAACCCUACUAUGUUUCAUUAACGCGCAACCCAGUCCUCUAAACGACGUAUCACUAUAGAUCUCAUACCCUCCAGGACCAUAUGAAAUUGUCAACACUGGUGCGAUAGUUAGUUUCUACUUAAGCUCUUGGAAACUACGCUCACACUUAUCUGUCGACACAAACUUCUCUUCCUUCUUCAACAGUCAAGUCAACGAUGAGGCCAAAACUGAAAAUCCUUCCACAAACCUUUUGUAGUAACUUGCCAAACCCAAAAAGCUUUUGAUCUCUGUCACUGUUGUCGUUCUUGGCCAGUUGAUAACUGCUUCGAUCUUGGUCCUUCGCCUGAAAUCACGUGACCUAGGAAUGCAACAUGAGUCAACCAAAACUCGCACUUGCUAAACUUAGCGUACAACUCAUGGUUCCGUAGUGUUUGAAGCACCAUCCUCAAAUGCCUUUCGUGCUCCUCAGGACUUCUCGAGUACACCGGGAUAUCGUCGAUAAAAACAAUCACAAAUUGAUCCAGAUAUUCUUUGAAAACUCAGUUCAUCAAAUCUAUGAAAGCAGCUGGGGCGUUCGUCAAACCAAACAACAUUAAAGUGAACUCAUUGAUAUAGCUAGUAUAAGUACCUAGAGGGGGGUGAAUAGGUAUAUAAAUAAUUUUUCGAGAUAUGAAAGCAAUACUAGGCAGACAAUAAAAAGAAGACUCCUCUUUUGUUAAUAGAACGAACUGUUGACAAAGUAAAAGGAGUAGGGACUGCCAGACUCAAGACUUAAAGUAUAUUCCCAGUGACAGUUUUUAAUCCGUUGAAGUAAGGCUAUCCAGAUCUGUGUGAUUCUUUGUGGACUCAGCCUUAUCGACUGGAGAAGAUCUCUUGGCUGGAUGUGACAUAACGGAUUCCUUUUAAGAUUGAUUAAGGAUCCGAUGAUUGGCGAAGUAUUCUCGGAAGGUUCUACUUAUGGAAACCAAGAUCCUGAUUGUAUGGGCGAGCAUGAUUGAUGGGCUAUCGACAUGUUCCUUUAAUAGCUCGAAUGAUCUUCCAAAAUUGAUUCUGUCCAACGGGAAGAUUGGAAGAAUUCAUUUGGUAAGUGCCAACGAGUAUGAUGGCAUAAAGGAGUAUAAAAGGAAGACGUUCCAGUUGUUCGAAGUGUGUGCACGAUAAAGAAUUCCAAAGUCUGAAGCUCCUUGAUUCGUAGUCAAUUCAUUAAUUGAACGACAAUCUUGUAUACUGAGAGAGUUCAUUUUGAGACAUACCUGGAGGAAGAUUGUAGAUAUCAUACUGUGGAUCAGGAGAGCAUGGCUGUAACAUCCCUUUUGUCNNNNNNNNNNNNNNNNNNNNNNNNNNNNNNNNNNNNNNNNNNNNNNNNNNNNNNNNNNNNNNNNNNNNNNNNNNNNNNNNNNNNNNNNNNNNNNNNNNNNAAGGAUGGCUGGGCAAUCCAUUCCUUCUCGCUAUGGAUGUGAGUCACGGUGACUAUCAGGAGAAAUGAAAAAGAUCGAGAGUACUCGACUCAUAUAAGUUUGAUUUAUAGUUCUAUGUGUGUUCUUAGAACGGCGAGAUUGAACUCAGAGAUAUGCCAAGCGGUCUUUGAAUUGAAAAAAUCGCCUGGUUUGAUUAAUACCUAUGUCCCCAUGUGAUGUAACUUACCGAAUCAAAAUGCAAGUUGGCCUUCGAAGCAUUGGUCUCUAAAAUGGUAUGAGCCAGACCUGGUGUCAAUCCUCUUCUUUCACGGAAGCCUUCGAUUCUCCUCGGAGAUCAAUCAAAACCCAGAGCCGACCAAGUAAACUGGAAAAUCCUCCGAGGGAAAGCGGAGAUGGUGGGAGGUGUGCAAGGAGCGAGCAAGAGGCGACCGGAUGCCGUCCGGACGCAAGCGGUGAUCGUGAGCUCUCGCGAGAGAAUUGGACAACGUCGUCGCACAAAUGGAGAGAGAGAGAGAGCCACGCGACCUCAAAACGCACAAGAAUUGGAGCCAACGCCGUCCAAGACUUCGUCUGGUUAGUUGAACAACCGAUCAUGACCAAUGAUCGCUCCUCGCAGAGAUAAAAGCUCUCUGUUCUGUUUUGAGUGUCGCACGUGUGAAAUAGAGACCGGGAGCUUGGAUGUUUGCUAGCAAUGAAAAUUGCUCACAUCCAAGAUUAUAUUACUAACAACUGCGAUUCGGUCUUCAUGAUCUCGUGCUGAUUGGGUCGUGAUUCUCGCUCUCUCGUUGCUGGACUGUGCCAUUUCAUCGAAUGCACAUUAAAUGUCUGGUGAAAUGCCUGAGCCAUAUUAGUCUGAAUACACAUCGUCUUUGUCUGCUUGAAUGACUCAUUGUACCAGUUGGAUAGGUUAAGUAGAUCUAAAUUGAUAUCCACUUUUGAGUCCAUUCCCGAAUGUCUCGGUCUUGGUAGGCUUCCGGUACUCUAAGGCAGAUAACUCGACUCUCUGAAAUUAGCUAAAAAAGAUGAUUCCGGUACUCUAAGGCGGAUAAACUCGACUCUC
RNAcentral lists this long non-coding RNA (52378 nucleotides) under Eucalyptus grandis. RNAcentral's name for it is "long non-coding RNA (EGRA_LNC000625)". Lineage: Eukaryota; Viridiplantae; Streptophyta; Magnoliopsida; Myrtales; Myrtaceae. The record is from RNAcentral.